Molecule: long non-coding RNA, 59714 nt
Filed under: Vitis vinifera (wine grape)
Lineage: Eukaryota; Viridiplantae; Streptophyta; Magnoliopsida; Vitales; Vitaceae
Description: long non-coding RNA (VVIN_LNC005497)
Source: RNAcentral
CUUAGCGGUUCGAAGGACAGUUCCACCUGCAUAGCACCCUUGAUGGUACAACAUCACUCUUCUGACAGAUGGUUCGAGGCCUAAGAGAUUAGCGAGUUUAUAAUCUGCACCAGGCAUUUCUACACCUGAGGUGGUACAAAAUACAAGGUGGGUGAUCUUCGAUUUAGGCUGACCCCACUCUUUAAGAGCCUUCAAUGCUGCUUCCUUACCGAGCUUGGGUACCUCAGCAGUGAUAAUCUCUUGGCGUAUGUUAAGAGAUGGAGCCAUAUAAGCACCAAUGUUUGGGUGCUCCUCAAGCAUUUCUUCGGUCAAAUGAAUGUAACGCUUCUUGAUCAUGGAUUUGUCACCUAUAAAUGAAAUAACAUGAACACAUUAGUUUUACCAAUCAACAAGUGAUAUAGAAUAUCGUUGAAUAUGAUCGACAUGCAUUUAACAUUGAAGCAAGUAUAAAAGGUUAUUCUUAAUUAUAGCUGGCAAUGAGACAUGAUUCAAAGAACAGCUCUUCAAGCCAUUACAGUCAGAUGAAAUGAAUAUUAGUUACUGAAGUAAAAUAAUUUUCAAGUUUUCUGUAGUAUUUUAUCUAAAAGCUAUACUCUAGAAAGAUUGCAACAUUCAUUCACUUGGAGGUGAGCCUCACCUAGUGUCAGUCACAUAUAUACAGAACUGUUAUGCAUGUAAGAAAUUAAUGCAUGAAUAUACUUACAUAUGCGAUUGAACUUCUUCUUCAACGCAGUCAUGUGCUCGCUCUUAGUGACCCUGAAAUAGUAAUCAGCAUAAUCAGACUGGUAGACACAGUGGUCGGGGGUAGCUGUGCCAAUGGCUAGGAUGGUGGCCGGACCCUUGGCACGUUGAGCGUUUCUAAUUUCCUCGACUGAAGCCAUUGAUCCCAGCUACGUACUCAAAUUAAAGCCUAAGAUUAAGUUGAGGAAGGAAAGAGAACUCAGUGUGCACAAGUGCUUGGAGUUGGCUUGAGAAAGCUCGGUGUGAGUGUUGGCCUUUUAUAACCUGUGUUUCACCAACUCUCAUCCAUUGGUAGUCUUUGAAUUAUCAGUUGGCGUCAAAGUUUGUGUGCGUGAGUUUUUUUCCUGGUGGGGUUGAUUUUCAGACAUGUAUGCAUGCGUUAAUGUAUUUGUGUUGUUUUCUGUUCUUCACCUACCCAUAGGAAGGAGAAAGCAUUCAAUCCGGUCACAUUUGUUAUAUAUAGAGAUAAGGACUUUUCCAGCCUCCUGGAAAUUAAUGCAUUGUUCAUUUGACUUUUCCAUGUGUGGGAAGCUGCUACCAACUUUCUUAUUGAAGAAUUCAUCAAAGUCAUUCAAAUUUGGAUUUCUAAAUUUGAAAUAACCUCAACAACCCAAUAAUUAAUGCAUUAUUUUUCUUUUGCAGGAUUACAUCACAUGUUAUUUAACUUAUUCAAUAAGUAAUUCAACAAAUAUCUCAUUUUUAUUUAACCUAUUUCGUCAUCUAACUUGCUAAGAACUCGUUUGAUUCUCUCUCUCACACAUUGAAGAAUUCAUCAAAGUCAUUUAAAUUUGGAUUUCUAAAUUUGAAAUAACUUCAACAACCCAAUACCUAAUGCAUUAUUUUUCUUUUUCAGGAUUACAUCACAUUUCAUUUUACUUAUUCAAAAGUAAUUCAACAAAUAUCUCAUUUUUAUUUAACCUAUUUUGUCAUUUAGUGAUUGACUUUUCAAUUGACACCAACCUUUAAUGCUCCUUCAAUAAAACUCUUUAAUUACUAUGUUGCCCUUUUGAGUUUCCAUCAUUCUUUCAGUUGACAACAAUUCAUUCCCCAUAUAUAGGCUAUUUUUGUAAAAUGUUUCUUUCCAAAAAGGCACUAUAAAGUCCUUAUAAAACAUUAAAUUCCUUUUAUCUAUACAAUAUAUAAAAUUACAAUGUGUCUUUUUUUCAAAAAUAACUUUAUUAUUUCGAUUUUAUGCGCUUAUAUCAUAUCUUUAUUAUAUGUAAUUAAUUCAAAUAAUGUUUAUUUUUUCUAAGGACAAUUUACUCUUUAUAAAAAUUAUUAUAAUGUAAUUAAAAUAAUUUUAAUAUGUUCAUAAAAGAUUUGGAUAAAAAAAAUCCUCUUUUAAAAAAAUUAUAAUAAUUUAGGUUUUUAAUACAAAGUGUUUUGACAUUUUUUUCCCAAAAAUAGUCUUAUCAUUUCUAUUAUAUGCGCUUAUAUCCUAUCAUUAUUAUUAUAUGUAAUUAAUUCAUGUAAUGUUUAUUUUUCGAAGGACAACCUACUCUUUAUAAAAAUUAUUAUAAUGAAAUUAAAAUAAUUUUAAUAUCUUCAUAAAAAAACUUAAAUUAGAUAAAGAUCCUCUUUAAAAAUUUUAAAAUGAUGAUAAUUUAGGUUUUUAUUAUUAAUUUAUUGAAUUAAAAAAUUUAGAUAAAAUUAAAGUUACAUAAAUACAAAAUAAUAUUUUUUUAGAAUCCGAAUUACACAUUUUUUCUAUUACAAAUAAUAAAAUAAAUUCAAUCUCCCUUUAUAAUAGACAUAGGUGAUUAAGUUGAACCAAAUAAAUUGCUUCUCUUCCAUAAUUUAUUUUAUUUUUCCAAUUGUAUUUAGGCGUUGUUAUUUUUUCAUUCUAAAGUUUAUUAUAAAAUUGAUCUCCUAUUGCGGACAUAGGCAAUUAGGUCAAACCAUGUAAAUAUUUUAUCUUCUCUAAUUUAUUUUAUUUUUCCUAUUGUAUUUGAGUGUUGUGAUUUUCCUAACAACUUUGCCUAUCUUUCUUAGCUUUCUAUUAUCUUUUUUUACCUCUCUUUUAAAAUCCUAUGAAAAAAACCAUAUAUUAAUAAAGUCUUAUAGAUUAACCCUUAAUGAUAUGUUUUUGAAUCCUUGUCAAACUUAAAAAGCCAAUUUACUCAAACAUAAACUCUACAAAUAUUGAUUUUCCUUAAAUUAAAAAAUAAAUAAUUUGAGUCAAAUUUACCAACAAUCUCCACCUUGACUCAAGUUCUCUCAUUCUACAUGUAAGGUUUUCUUUUUUUGAUACCCACCUUUACACCCCCCUAUGAGUAAAACUAUCAGCUUGAGAUGCAUAUAUUGCUAGUUCACCCAUUGUCCCAUCGUAUGAUUUUUGUGAGUUUUAGACCCAUUAGGUCCAAGGCCUUUCUCAUAGCCUAAAACCAAUUAUUCUAUGCUAUUUUGUUUGUGGGGCAAAAAUAAGUUUGCAUACUUAAUAAGCUUUGUGAUUCGUACAUAAAAAGGAUGGAUUUAACUAGUAUUCAAAAGGAAAUUGUUUUGAUAUUGAAUUGGUGUAAAAAUAUAUUCAUAAACACCGAGAAAAUGUGGCUUCCUUGUUCUAUUCCUUUCGUUUGACCUAAAUGAAGUUAGUAACAUAAAAUAAACUAGAGAAGAAAAUAUUUACAUGGUUUGGCCUAAUUGCUUAUAUCCACUACACAGAGAGGUCAAAUUUAUUAAUAAACUUCAUAAAUACAAACUCAAACUCUCUCAACCUCCCUUUACUAUAAACCUAAUACACUCUUUGCCUAACUUUCUUAACACUUUGUUAACGUUUUCACUCCCUCUUGAAAUCAUAUGCAAAACCACAUAUUUAUAGAGCUUUAUGGUUCAAACCUAAAUCAAUAGUUUCAUAAUCCUAGUCAAACUUAAAAAGGUAAUUUAUUAAAAUACAAACUCUAUAAAUAUUGUCUUUCCUAAAAAUAAAGAAUAAAUUAUUUGAGGUAACUUCCAAAAACCUCAAUAUUGACUCAAAUUCUUUCAAUCUUACACAAUUAAUGAGAAUAAACAUGUAUCAAGUUCAAUUUUUCGUCAAACUAUUUUUCUCUUUUUUGAUAACUUUAUUCCUUUUGCAAUUAGUAUCAUCCUUAUGCUAAUGAGUACUCUUAUUUGAAAAUAGAAUCUUGAUUAUCUUGUUCCACUUUUCUACUUUAACAACUUCUUUAACACUAGGAAAAUACUCUCUAUGGUGUGGCUUCACCCUCAUAGCUUCACUUAAAAUUGUCUUCUCAAUUAAGGUGUAUAAAUAUUUCACAUUUUUCUUUUGCACUGUUAGGAUUGAGACCAAAAAAAACAUGAUAUGAUAUAAUAGAUUGAGAUUCAUUUAUAAAUUUUUUUAUCUAUGUUUCUUGGUUUUUCAUUUAUUAUCAUAUUUGCAUUAAUUAGUUACUAAUUUGAGUAUACAUACCCACAUCACUUGUAUUGUACAUAGCUUGGGAGCAUUAGAAGUUACAUAGAAAAUCCAAGUCAUGGGGUCCUUACAAAGUGAUGAGUUGUCCAUAGUUGAUCAAUGGAUUUGGGCAAUUUAUUUGAGACUAUAUUGCACUACCUCCUAAUUGGGGGGAUGACUUGUUUUGGUCAUCGGGAUGGUUUUCCCAUGGUAAAUGCACUAUUAUAUGUAAUGCACACUGGACAAGACUUAUGAGGAAUCAUGAUCUAAGUCAUGGGUUCCUUGAAAAGUGAUGAGUUGUCUAUAGUGUAUUAAUGGAUUUGGGCAAUCUAUUUGAAACUGUAGUGCAUUAUCUCUUAAUUGGGGAGAUGACUUGUACUGGUCAUCGGGAUGGUUUUCCCAUGGCGAGUGCACUAUUGUAUGUGAUGUACAUUGUACAAGACUUAUGGUAAAUCAUGACGUAAGGCUAAUAGUUAUCAUGAUUCACUUGUUAGGAUUGAGCCUUUAAAAGCAAGAAAUAAUGUAACAAAGUAACACUUUACUAUCCCUAGGUUAUCCUUUUUAUGCAUUGACAGUGAUUUGAACAUUCAACUCAUAUCUUUUACACUGUACAUGACUUGGGUGUAUUAGGAGUUGUAUAAAGGAUACAAGUCAUUAGAUUCAUGUAAAUAGAUAAGUUGUCCAUAGUCAAUUUAUGGAUUUUGGCAAUCCAAUAGAGACUGUAGUGCAUUACCUCCUAAUUUGAGAGAUGGUUUAUCUUAACCAUCAAAACUAAUUUCCCAUAGUGAGUGCACUAGUGUAUACUGGACAAGACAUAUGAUGAAUCAUGACAUAAGACUAUCAAUUGUCAUGAUUUACCAAGCUGCUAUAUUGUGUAGGCUCUCAACCUUGAGAGGAUAUUGAACCUAUGUCAAAAUCAACAAGAGGCUUUAACUUAUGAGUAAGAUGCUAAAGUAGUCAUAUAUCCUUAUAGAUUGAGUUAUUCUUGAUUGAGGCUAGUGGUAAUAGGUAUUUUCAAUAAAUGUAUCAUGAUAUCUCAUGAAAUUGACGCAAUGUGUCUCCUUGGAUGAUCCAAAGGACAUAUGAUCAUGAAAUCUAUAACAUCGUAGUAAUUCCUUAAGUGGAAUUUGACGUAUGCUCUUUAUGGGUUAGAGUAUGUCCAUUGAUCAUAUAAUAAUCAGAUUUUUUAUUUAAGGAUUAUAAAGAUAAUCUUGAUAGGUGAUAAAACUACCUUAUUAGAUUACAUAUACUAAUUCAUGAGGAGUCAACAUGCAGUGGAUAGUAGGUCAUGGACCCAAGCUUUGUGUCAUUGUUAUUUACGUAAGGUACUAGAAUACAGUUAGUUCUCUUUAGUGGAAUGUUGAAUCAACUUCAAAAUUAGAUUUUGAGGAAGCCAAUACUCCUAUGGGUCCUAAUGAUCCCCACUCUGAGCUCAUAUAUCAUGAUGACACAAUUUAUGAAGGUUGGAGCUCUAAGUUCACUCUUAUACAUAAGAGUGUUUUAGUAAUUAUGCAAGGUAACACAAAGGAUAGUGAAAAAGGUCUCUAGAUUGGUCUAAUAGAUUAAUUAGAAAGCCCUAUGUGGUUAGUUAAUAAAUUAGGACUUGUUUUGGAUUGGAUUAAGUGACUCAAUCCUCAAUGGGCACAAGUCACUUAAGCCUAGUGAGUAACCCUAUAAAUACCUUUUGAGGGAUUAUAGUUUCCUAAUGACUUUCAAUUAGUCAUUUUCCACCUCCAAAGAGAGAGAGAGAGAGAGAGAGAGAGAGAUGGUUUAUGAGAGUUGGAUUGAUUAUAGGUUCACUCUUAUGUAUAAGUGACCUAAGCUUAUAUGGUUUAACUCACUUAAGCUUAGUAGCGAAACCAUAUAAAUAUCCCCUUAGGGGUUAAGGUUUCAUAAUCACUUUUCAAAAAGUCAUCUUUCAUUUUUAGAGAAAGAGAGAGAGGUACGAGACCUUCAAAGUUUUCAAGCAUCCUCUUCACUACAUAGAUUUGAUUUGGGAACAUCCAGAUCUAGACAAAGUUUUCUAAAGCUUUUUUAUUCUAUAUCCUUAUAUUAUUAUGAUUAUUAUUUAUUUUUUGCUUCAUUCCUAGGAUAUAAAAGCCCUAGGGAAAAUUUCAUAUACUUAACCUGAGUCUGGGUUAGGGUUAAAAAUGAUAAAGAGUUUCCUACAAUUGGUAUUAGAGCCUUAGGUUAGGAAAAAAACAUGAUAUAACCUUUCUAGGAUAUGCUAAUGGUUGUUUUGCCUGGAUUUUUGUUUAUCCUAUGGCCUUAAGGAUUCUUCUUAAAGAAAAAUAAAUUUCAUGAGAAGUCUUUUCCAUUGUUAUUUUUCUAAAACUGGUUAUUAAAAGUCAUAUUGUUAUUUCUUUUUUAGACUAUCCACUUGGUUUGGAUAGGUGGUUCUCUAAACUCUUCUCCCCAAGAGAAAGAGAAUGGCACAUAUAGCGAUGGUGGUCCUGCUGGCUCUUUUCUCUGGAGAGAAGGACUAAACUACCAAGUUUUUUAGGCUUUCCCUCUUAAGAGAAUAAAGACUUUUGUGGAUAUGGAUAGUCCAAGGAUAAAUGAAUAAGAGAGCAUUUCUUUUGGCAUAGGCGUCCUAGUUUAAGAAAUAAAAAAUGGUUUCAAAAAGUCUCAUGAUAAAGAGUUUAUUUUAAUAAAGGUUACCAAAAUUGAGAUGGAACCUAGGAUGGCGUUGUAAUGAUGGGAGUGUAAACUGAGUAAAACCUAGCAUGGUGUCAAAAUGACGAGCAUCCAAAGAAACUAAGGAUAAACUAAGAUAAAAACUAGGAUGAUGUCGAAAUGACAAGAGUCCAAAGUAGCUAAGAAUAAGCUCAUAUAGAUCUUAGGAUAACGUUGUAAUGAUGAGAAUUCAAAGGAACUAAGGAUAAACUGAGAUAAAACCGAGGAUGACAUUGUAAUCAUGGGAGUCCAAAGGAGCUAAGCAUACACUUAGAUAGAACCUAGGAUGACAUUGCAAUCAUGAAUUCAAAGGAACUAUGGAUAAACUAAGAUCGAACCUAUGAUGAUCUCGCAAUGGUGAGAAUGCAAGGUAACCAAGGAAAAAUUGAGAUAGAUCAACCUAGGAUGAUGUCACAAUGAUAGGAGUCCAAAUGAACUAAGGACAAAUUGAGAUAGAGUCUAGGAUGACAUGGAAAUGAUGGGAGUCCAAAGGAGCUAAGAAUAAACUUAGAUAGAACUAGGAUGAAGUCAUAAUGACAGGCAUCCAAAGGAAUUAACCAUAAACUGAGAUAAAGCCUAGGAUGACAUCAUAAAAAGAACAUAAGAUGGUGUCACAAUGAUAGGAAUACAAAGGAAAUAAGGAUAAAUUGAGAUAAAACCUAAGAUAACAUCGUAAUAAUAAGAGUUUAAAGGAACUAAGCAUAAAUAAAGAUAGAACAUAGGAUGGUGUCACAAUGACGGGAAUCGAAAGGAGCUAAGUAUAAACUUAGAUAGAACCUAGGAUGAUGUUGCAAUGACAAGAAUCCAAAGGAACUAAGGAUAAACUAAGAAAGAACCUAGGAUUGCGUCACAAUGACAAGAGUCCAAAGGAGCUAAGAAUAAACUUAGGUAGAACCUAGGAUGAUGUGGUAAUGACGAGAGUGAAAAGGAAUUAAGGAUAAACUAAUAUAGAUCCUAGGAUCGUGUCGCAACGACAAGAAUCCAAGGGAAGCAAGGAUAAAUUGAGAUAGAAUCUAGAAUGGUAUCGUAAUGAUCGAAAUAUAAGGAAACUAAAGAUAAAUAGGGAUUGAAUAUAUUUUAACAUUGUUAAAGCAUUUUACCGUAAUUUUUAAAUAUAAUUAUGAAAAAAAAAACUUUUUUAAAAAAAGAUUACUAAAAGAAAAAUGUUAAUUUCACUGACAUUUAUCUAAUUAUUAAAUGUCAAGAAUCAUAUGAAUAUAUGAGAAAAAUGAUAAAAAAAAAAAAAGAGUAAUAAUAAUAAAUGUAAUUACCGUUAUUACUCAAAUUUAUGAUUAAAAGUGUUGCGGAUUAUAAAAUUUUUAAAACAUUUAUUUAGUAAAUCUAAGAGUAAAUUUAUUGGAAGAUCUAAAAUUCAAUUCACUAUUUUUGUCAAAAAUCUAGGUCUAAUUUACAGUCACAAAAUUAUCCUAAAGUCUCACCUGCAGCCAUAGCCCUACCACAGGAAAGCUUUUUUUAAAAAAAAUAAAAAAAUAAACUCCUCCUCAUUCCAAAUAAAAUAAAUCUUUAGUGAUAUUCACAGGCCCCUCAAGGGUACAGCAGGAGCCGGCAUGAACCAGAUUCCACGUCCACCUUAUUCUUCUAAUCCAAGCCAACCAAUCAAGUCCAGCCAUGUUAUCCACCCACCAACCUUCGCACUUGGCAACUGUUGCCAAGUUAUCCACUGCUCUUACAUGGGCCCACUUCUCAAGCGUGUCUAUCACCUGUACCUUACACGUUAUCUUUGCUGAGAUGGCAGACGACGUGAUCUUCGCAUAUUAUAAUAAUGGCGGAUUGUGGAUGGCGGCGGAGACUUGUUCAAUGAUCUCAUGCUGAUUUUGAAUGCUCUUUUUGGUGGAGGGUGAAAGUAACAAAUUCAGCACCAGCCGCCAGCUGCAAGCCCGAUCGUCCAUUUCGUCUUUUAAGGAAAUUAAUUCAUCAACUUUAAGAAUUUUUGUGUAGAUUUUAAACUCAUGAGAAGGACACAUUUCUGUAAUUACAGCAUUAUUUUAAUCUAAGUUCGGUAUAGGUAUUAAUUAAUAAACAAAAUGUCUUUAGCGGAAGUUUAGAUAAAAUUAUGGUUUUGGUCUUAAUUAUAAAGCAAAAUUUGAAUAUUUUUUUUUAAUCAAGAAGUUGUCGGAUUUUUGUAUUCUGAAAUUUGUUUGUUUAUUUGUUUUAUUUAUAAAAAAAUUGUCAUAUUUUUGUAAUAUUAAUAUAGAAUUAGUCUUGCAUAUGUCGAGUCUAAUAGGACUUAUGCAAGUUAAUAUUUUUCUUACAGCAUGUUCAGGUAAGGGUGAUAGUGGAGCAGUAGACGUCACCCAUGUUGUGGUGGUGGCUAUCUUCUUUAACUUAUACGAACUAUAGAGUACCCCACCUGGUUUCCACUCAUUUUACAUAUUUUUCAAAUCAAUAGCAUAAAUUGAAAAUUUUCUUGUAUGCUUAAAAAAAAAAACUCAGAUAUAUUCUUCCUUCCUUUUGAUAACAUACACAAGAAUAAACAAUGAUUUUGACUUGAGGUCUUUGAGGAGGUCCUCCAACAAUAGUAAAAUAACAAUUCAAUAUAUUUACUACCUUUUUAUUUGAUUAAUAAAACAUGACUCAUGAAUAACUUUUCCCAUCAUUUCACCUAGUUUGAAUCCGUACCAACGCUAUGGAUCACAACGGUCUCAAUGGUUAGGCCCGGCCCAAAGCCAAACAAGACACCCCAAUCCAAUCCUUCACCUGUCGUCAUUUUGCCUUCCUUGAGCGAUUUCUUUCUCAUCUCAUCCAAAAUAAAUAGGACACAUGCACUUGACAUGUUCCCAUAUUCACUUAGAAUAUGCCUUGUUGCUUUGAGUUUCUGUUUAUCUAAACCGAGUUUUGCUUCAACUGCGUCAAGAAUAGCUGGGCCACCUGGAUGAGCAAUCCAAAAUAAGGAAUUCCAAUCACUAAUACCAAUUGGGUCAAAAGCCUUAGUCAAACAAUUCUCUAUGUUUUCAGAGAUCAAGGUAGGCACAUUAGGCCACAAAUGAAAGGUGAGACCCACUUCACGUAAGUUGCCUGCAAUAGCACCUGCUGAAUUAGGAAUAAAUGUUUGGGCUGCUGAAACAAGUUGAAAGAGUGGUCGUUCAAUCGAGCUAUCUGGAUCGGAUCCAAUGAUUACAGCUGCAGACCCAUCACCGAAAAGGGCUUGGCCAACUAAAGAGUCCAAAGCAUCUUCGGAAGGACCACGAAAUGUAACAACAGUGAUCUCUGAGCACACCACAAGAACUCGUGCUCCUGCAUUAUUCUCUGCAAGAUCCUUAGCGGUUCGAAGGACAGUUCCACCUGCAUAGCACCCUUGAUGGUACAACAUCACUCUUCUGACAGAUGGUUCGAGCCCUAAAAGAUUAGCGAGUUUAUAAUCUGCACCAGGCAUUUCUACACCUGAGGUUGUACAAAAUACAAGGUGGGUGAUCUUCGAUUUAGGUUGACCCCACUCUUUAAGAGCCUUCAAUGCUGCUUCCUUACCAAGCUUGGGUACCUCAGCAGUGAUAAUCUCUUGGCGUAUGUUAAGAGAUGGAGCCAUAUAAGCACCAAUGUUUGGGUGCUCUUCAAGCAUUUCUUCGGUCAAAUGAAUGUAACGCUUCUUGAUCAUGGAUUUGUCACCUGUAUAUAAAUUAAAUAACAGUAAUAUGUAAGCUCAAGGCACACUAGUGAAACAAAAUCAAUUCAAUGGGUAGAUUGAUUGUUCAAGAUGAUCAAACAUUGUUCAACUGAGUGUAAAAAGAUUCAUCUUAAUACAAUAUAAAAGCUUAUUUUUUAUUACAUCAAUUAAUAACGUGAUCCCAUGCGUUAUACUAUGUGAUUCAAAGAGCACCUGCUCAUACCAUCACUCACAGAUGCACUGUAUUAAUUUAAAAUGAGUACACAGAAAGCUUGAAAAUGAUGUUUCAGUGGUCGUAGGGGAAUCAUAUGUAUAUGAAGGAUGUUAAAAUUAUACUUACAAAUGCGGUUGAACUUCUUCUUGAGCUCGGUCAUGUGCUCGCUUUUAGUGACCCGGAAAUAGUAAUCAGCGAAAUCAGACUGGUACAGACAGUUGUCCGGGGUAGCUGUGCCAAUGGCUAGAACGGUGGCCGGACCCUUGGCACGCUGAGCAUUUCUAAUUUCCUCCACAGACGCCAUUGAUAGUGUGUGAUGACUACUGAAAUGGAAGCUUCAAAGUUGAAGAAGGAAAGAGAAAUGAAAUUUUAGGAGCACAAGUGCUUGGAGCUGUCUGGCCAAAGUUGUGUGUUGAGGUUGGUAUUUAUAAUCACCACAAAUGCUGUCUCACCAACUCUCAUCCACUUCCAUGUAGGUAGGCUUGCAUUUGAAUAAUCCGGUGCCAUGGGGUUUGAUUUCCAUCUUGGUAGGCUUCGGUUUUCAUUCUUUAUUUUAUUUUUCUGUCUUUCUUCUUCCUCUAAAGCUCUUUUGGUCUUCUAAACCCACGUAAGGCGGUUGGAAGCUUACCCUUUUUGACUCCAAGUUGGUAGCAUCACUUUCAUAUCCCCCGAGUACUAUUUGACAAAAGACCCAAAAUUUUCACGUGCUGGGCCAGCUGCUGCCGGCUGGACCAAGCCGAUGAUCAAUAUUAAUGCAGAACGUUAGGAAACCUGUAAUAUUUCAAGUCAUAAAUAUAGAUGUUGAAUAAAUAAAUUUAUUGUUUAACAACAAUGAAGGCAAAAAUUAGUUACUAUUAACGAACAUAAAUAUUCGUUAAUUAUUUUUAAAAGUUUUUAUAUUUGAUAUUAUUUAGUUUGUUUUUUUUAAAAAAAAUUCCUUAAUUUUUGAAGGCAGAAGCUCACCCAUUUUGACUCCAAGCUGGUAGGGUCAUUUUCAUAUUCCCAAGUACAAUAAUAUUUGACCAUUGAGGUGGAAUUCUUGACUUGAUCUUCCACAUCAUGUUGGGCCAAGCUAAUUAGGAAAUCUGUAAUGUGGCAGAUUAUAUAUUCAAGUCAUAAAUUAAUAUAUACCUUUUUGUCAAAGUUAUUUACAUCGGAACUUCCUUGAACAAAGUUGAUAUCGAAUAUCACUUGAGAGAAAAAUAUGAUUGAUAAAAAAUAACACUUUCUAACUAACCUUCUAAAUUUUGAAUGAAAGUUGUUUUAGUGUAUUGGAAUUUGUUUAAAAAAAUUAUUAUUGAAUAUAUAUAUAUAUAUUAAAUAAAUAUAAUCAAUGAACUCAAUAAACUUUUUGGUUUGACCUUCCAAUUUUUUCAACAAAAUGACAUAUUUUUUCAACAAAACGACAAAUAUAAGAAAAUCAAGAAUAAAAACGCAAGCAAGGAGGAAUAAUUUGCAAAGUAUCUAAAAUUCAAUCCUCUAUCUAUUAUAGAGAAAACAAAGAGUGGAAAAGUAAUCCAAAAUGUAUCAAAGGUACUCCCUGUUUCAACCUAAUACAUCAAAAACCAACCAUGCAUAAAGGUCGAAAUCUUAUUGAUCCAACUUCUUAUAUUAAAUUUCUUUAGUGAUAAAGGAAGUUCAAAUCAAACCUAAAAUUCUCUAUGGUCAAAAGGAGGUUCAAAGCAUCCCAAAACCUAAAAUUAUUUAGGGUCACAAGGAGUUUUAAAUAAUUCUCUAAAUUCUCUAAAAUUUAAGAUUGGACACUUUUGACAAUUUUUUGAUCGAAUACCUACAAACUCUUAUAAUUACAAUUUUUAGAAAAUUAAGUAAUCUAGAUAUAAUAGAGUAUGAAAAACUAAUUUAUAGGAUACAAAGAAAAAAAUUAAUUUUUAGAAUUCAAAUGAAGUUCAAAAUUAAAAAGAAUAAAACAUAACUAAAUAAAAUAAGAUUUCAAUGGAACAUUGGAGAAGCUAGAAAACAUUUAUAUGUAAAAAUUGCUACUUGAAGAAACAACUAUUUGAAUUGAAGAUGGAUGAAGAAUAGACGGUAGGGAUUAUAUAAAUAAAUUUAAUAAGCGCAUCGUCCGAUUAUUAAGUAUAGCGGUUACGAUUGAUGAGGAAGAUUAACAUAUUUUUUUUAUCGGCAUCCCUACCAAAAUAAUAUGAGCCAGUGGUAACUGUGCUCUUAGUUGAAAAGAUGAUGUUAAUAGUGGAUAAGCCAUCAAUUGCUCUUUUAGAGACAAAAAAUUAAGUAGCCAAGUAGUUCAUCUCAUACAAAACAAGCUCUUGUGAUGAAUUAUAAAUCACAUCGUGGUAACAGCAAGUCAUGAUAGAGAUAUUAUGAUAGGAGAAAUUAUCAUUCUUAAAUCACACUUUUGAACUGAUAUGGAAAUUUAUUACUACCCAAGAAAAGGACAUAUUAAAAGGCACUAUGAAGAAUUGACAAAGCAUGUAGAAACAAGGAAAAAUCUUGAAUCCCAUGAGGCUCUACUAAUAUUCUUGAUGAAAUUUUUGUUGGCUCUUGGAUUUUUGGUUUUGGUGUUCUUUUCAUAUGUGCCCAAAUAAGGAGAGGUUUGAUAUCUAUAAUGAAUGUGAUGCUAGUACUAUAUGAAUGGAUAAUGAAUCAAGCUCUAAAUUGAUCAGGAUUGACACCAUGAUAGUGAAGAUGUUUGAUUGUGUUGUGAGGAUAUUGUGUAAUGUUAAGCAUGCAUGUUCCUAAUUUAAGGAGUAUAAUUUUUUGGGGGGCUUGGGGCUCUUUGGGUUAUGAUUUUUCAGCAAAUAACUAUGUAAUAAAAAUUAAUCAAGGUACUUUGAUAGCUAUGAAAGAGAAAAAGUUCAAAUAUUUAUACACCUUGAUUGAGAAGAUAAUUUUAGGUGAAGCCACACCAUGAAGAGUAUUUUGCUAGUGAUAAAGAAGUUAUCAAAGUAAAAGAGUGCAACAAGACGAUUAAGACUCCAUUUUCAACUAAGGGUACUCAAUGGCAUAAGGAUGAUACUAAUUGCAAAAGGAAUGAAGUUAUAUAUAUAUAAUUUUGUUGAGUCUAGUUGUAUGAGAAUUUGAACUUGAUACAUGUUUAUUAUCAUUAAUUAUGCAAGAUUGAGAGAAUUUGAGUCAAGGUGAAGGUUUAUGGAAGUUGGUUCAAAUAAUUUGUUCUUUAUUUUUAGGAUAGUCAAAUAUUUAUAGAGUUUGUAUUUUAGUAAAUUACCAUUUUAAGUUUGACUAGGAUUAGGAAACUAUUAAUUUAGAUUUAAACCAUAGGGCUUUGUAAAUAUGUUGUUUUAUAUAUAAUUUCAAGAGAGAGUGAAAAGGUUAACAAAGAGCUAUGAGAAUUAGGCAAAGAGUGUCUUAGAUUUUGGGCAGAUAGAGGUUGACGGUGUUUGAGUUUGUAUUUAUGAAGUUUAUUAAUAAAUUUAAUCUCCUUGUGUAGUGGAAGUAGGCAAUUAGGCCAAACUAUGUAAAUCUUUUCCCUUCUCUAAUUUAAUUUAUUUUACCAACUUCAUUUGGGUCAAACAAAAGGAAUACAACAAGGAAGCCCAUUUCCUUGGUUUUUAUGAAUAUAUUUUUACACUAAUUCAAUAUCAAAAUGGUUGCCUUUCAAAUGUUGCUUAAAUCCAUCCUUUUAUGUAGGAAUCACAAAGCUUAGGAUGUAACCCCAUUAAUGAAAUUCAAGAAGGAAUAGCACAAUUGGUUUUAGGUUAUGAUGAAGCCCUCAGGCCUAAUGGAUUUGAAACUUGCAAAAAUCAUACAAUGAGAUAGUGGAUGAACUGGCAAUAGGUACAUCUCAAACUAAUGGUUCUACUUAUAAGGGGUGUAAAGGCGGAUAUCAAAGAAAGAUAACCUUACAUGUGGAUUGCGGUAACUUGAGUCAAGGUGAUAUUGUUGGAAAUUUUGACUCAAAUGAUUUAUUUUUUAAUUUGAGGAAAGUCAAUAUUUGUAUAGUUUAUGUUUAAGUAAAAUAACUUUUUAAGUUUGGCAAGGAUUCAAGAGCUUAUCAUUUAGGUUAGCCUUUGGGACUUCAUAAAUAUGUGGUUUUUUUCAUAGGAUUUCAAGAGAGAGUUAGAAAAGUGAAUGGAAAGUGAAGAGAGAUAGGGAAAGUUUUGGGAAAAUCACAAUACCCAAAUACAAUAGGAAAAACAAAAUAAAUUAGAAAAGAUAAGCGAUUUACAUGGUUCGACCUAAUCAUCUAGGUCUACUAUAAAGGGAAAUCAAAUAUAUAAUAAAAUUCAAAAUGGCAAAAUCACAAAACCUAAAUACACACAGGAAAAAGUAAAAUAAAUUAGAGAAAAGAAAAAAUUUACUUCGUUCAACUUAAUCGCCUAAGUCUAUUAUAGAGGGAGAUCGAAUUUAUUAAUAAAAUUUAGAAAUACAAAAUCAAACUUUGUCAAGCUCUCUUUACCCAAAACCCAAUGCUUAGAGUUUUCAAAGAAAUCAGAAUCCUUCUCAACUUUAGAACUUGCUUAAGAUUAGUCAGUGUCUUGACAACAUAAAAAAUCUUCACAUUCGCAAUACCAAUCCAAAAGGUUUUAGUGCUUGAACCAUUUAUCAUUAAAACUAUAUUAGCAUUGCAUGCCUUAUAGAUAUCAGACCACUCCUUAUAUGGAGGUCCAUAUGAAAUAAACAUCAAAGAGUCAUAAAAAUUUUCAUCAACUAUAGUAGAAAAAACAUUACCUUAUCAAAAUCUUCAUCAACAACAUCAAUUAAUAGAUUUUGAAGUUUCUUAAGAUUCAAGAAUUUUCUUUUCUUCCAGGUGUUUUGUCAUUUCUUCACGGUAUCUUAUGAUACGUUCCUUUUGUGAAAGAGUAACACUCCACAUAUAUCCAAUAGUGUGAUUGGAAAUGAUUAGUUCUUCUAUCUUAAUAUCUCCUCUAUGAUUUACCCCUACUAGAUUAUAAUUUAGACUUCAUCAUAAGAGCUUAUUGGAUAUGAGAUGAACUAUUUGGCUACUUAAUAAUUUUUGUUUCCAGAUCAGUAGUUGACAUCUCAUCCAUAAUAAACGUUUUCUUUCCAUAAAAUAGUAGUUUCAACUUCCUCAUCAAUGUUGACCUUUACGCUCAAUAUAUAGGUUGUACACUUAUUGAAUUUAUUUAUAUGAAGAUCAAUUCCUUCAUUCAUCUUCAAAUUCAUAUAAUUGUUCACUACAAAAAAUUUGAGUUUUACCAACCCACUUAAGUUUACUUUUGUAAUGGAUUUAAGUUGUCGCUUACAUAUGUAAUUUUUUGUGAACAGUAAUUACAAGUUCUUGAGUUUAGACUGAUUAUGUAAGUGUAGACCUUCCAUUUUGUCCCCUUAGCACAUGUGAUACUAAUUGUUUUCCCUAAUAUUUUUCUCUUGCCUUGUGAUCAUCCCUUGGUGACCCAUCGAUACUUAAAUAGCUACUUUUUUUUAGCCACCUUCAAGGAUCCUUUGUUGAUGGAUUUAUCUAGACCUGCACUAUGACCUUGGUUGCCUUUCAAUCUUAGGUUAGGCUUCAUUUAGUUGCGUUUCCACUUAGUUCCCCUAGACAUUGUCUUAGAGACUUAGGUCACUUAGACACCGCUUUGGGAUGGUUUUCACUUAGACUCUUCACUAGGCUUAGUUCACUUAGGUUUGGUUUUUGGUUCAUUUUUGAGUUUUAGGCUUGAGUGAGUUUUCUUUUACUUGAUUCCAUUUUCCGUUCUAUUAUUGCAUAAAAUGGCUUUCUAACAUUUACUUGUGUGAGUGUGAUAUUUCUAUCUUAUUAUUUAUUGCUUUUAGUUUAAUAUCUUGAUUUCUUUUUAUUAUAUACAUUCGAUUUUUAUAUUUAUAUUUCCGCUCGUACUAUUUAUUUAUUUAUUUUAUAGAAUAUUGCACAAGAUUGAUGUUCUUAAUAGCAUAAAUAGAUGUCUUGAUUUCUUGUGUACAUAUAACUGACAUAUUUUUUACAUAUUUUUUUUUUUAAUGGCAUGAUUUCUUAUCUUAUUUAUUUAUUUAUACUUUUUCUUCAAUUUUAUUUUGACAUGAUUAGCUUUUGGAGGGACUGUCAAUGACUUACCAUCUACACGCAAUUGGGAGGAGAAUCCACACAUACCAUUUAAACUCCACAAGGCUGCAAUCGGAAGGAAGAUAUGCACAGUCCACUUUCCAUGAAAAUCUCCACAACACGCAUCAAGGAUAGGGCUAUAGAGUCCUAUAGGGUAACACUAAACAAUAAGAUUUUUUAAUGCUAGCUAGUUGAACUUAAAAAAGUAAUUUAUCCAAAUCUAAACUAUAUUGACUUUCCCAAAAACAAAAAGAAAAAAUUGAGUUAAAAUUACCAACACAUAAGGCCUACUCUAUUGAUCACAAAUGUUAUAUAUUCAUUGAUAUCAAUUUCCUAAUAAGGUAGUAAGCAUAUUCUCAAAUUCUUCUAAACGAAGUCUUUUUGUCUCCAAUGAAACUUUCUUAUACAUUUUUCAUUUUAAAUUUUGAGAUCGUAAUCAAACAAACUAAGUUAUGGUUAAAUGUAUGUGAGUAUUGUGCUUGGACAAGAGAGAUGAUCCAACUUAUUUAUACAAAUCAUCAAUGAAGUAUCACUCAUUAUAGAACUCCUAAUCUAAUUAAGUUAAUACUCCUACACAGUCUUAAUUAAUCCAAUCUAAAUGUAAGAAUUAAUCUAUUGUAACCAUAUAUUAAAAUAUUGCGAAAAUACGUCAAAAGAUCAAAUAUUUUUUAGUGUAUCGAUUAUGGCUAAUAUGAUAUAAGGAGUGAAUAAUUGGUAGAAUGUUAUAAAAUAUGAGAUUUUGUACCACUAUGGUAACUUGUGAAUGAUCAUCCAUAAAUAUCUAUUGUAAUUCCAUAUAAAAGGGAGAGACCCUUAAUGAAAUUGAAUAUAGAGUUUUCCCGUGCAUUCUAUUCUCUUCUUACAUUUUGAUUUCUCUUGUUUUCUUCUCGUUUCACUUUACAAUUUUAUAACACAUUAUCAGCACGACUAGUCUCUACAAAAGAAAUAGAAAGAUUUUUCUCUAUUCAGAAAAAUGGAAAGAUCUUCUCUCUUCUUUCUCACGAAAAAGUAUGUGAUAAACUUAUAUCAUGAAUUUCUAUUUUAUUACCCUUUGAUCUCUAUUUUAAGUUAUUUUAUUUGAAUACAUAAAUAUGUAGAAUCCCUAUAACCAGAAGUUAUGAAAAAUAUGUGCAAUUUCUAUAACCAGAAGUUAUGAGGAAAAAUUACAGAAUUACAGAUACAUGAUUAGAAGUUAUUUAUAUGAUCUCUAAUUAUUUAUUUUUAAUUAUACGGUAUAACUGGAUGUUAUACCAAACAAUAUUAGCCAGAAGCUAUAAAAUAAAUAAAUAAAUGUUCAUAGCCCGAAGUCUACAUAAUGAAAGUUCAUAGCUCGAAGCUAUGCACAAAUCUACCUAAUGAAUAGUUCAUAGCCUGAAUCUAUAUAUAAAUUUAUAUAAAAAAAAAUAGUUCAUAGCCUAAGUGAUGUAAAAAUUUAAAUAUUUUCUUAUUCUGACAAAAUAAUCAUGGUCUGAAGCUAUGAAAGAUAUUAAUUUUUAAUUUCUUUUAAUUAUAUUGUGUAACUAGAAGUUAUACAUAAAUAGUUCAUAGCCUGAAGCUAUGUACAAAUUUGAAUAUUUUCUUAUUUUGGCAAAAUAAUCAUAACUCAAAGUUAUGAAAAAUAUUGGAUUUAAUUUUUAUUUCGUACUCAUUUAUUUUUCACAACAGGAAUUAUGGAAAACAAUUUUUAUUAACAAUUGUUUCAUAGCCAGAAGUUAUGCAUACAAUUUCUAAUUCUCUUGUAUAACCAGAACUUAUUCAAAACAAAAAUGUUAAUGAAUCUUGGAGCUAUGAUUAAAGAAGGAAAUCAAGCAUCCCUAUAGGAUCAUGCAAAAACACUGAUUUUCCUUCGUCAUCAUCUCCAUGAAUGUUUAACAAAAAUGGGCUGUUGAUGAGAAAUCACCAAUCUCGUCCAACUAGAUUUGAAUCAUUCCCUGAAGUGAAUGUAAUAUUGUCCCAAACUCAUGGACGAUGACAACGACAAGGUCGUGGUCAUGGAAGAAAUCCCUAAUACCAUGGUUCUUAUAGUAAUAAUUCACCAAAUUCUCAAAAAAGAAAAACCUCAUUGCACCACUAGAAGUGGAAUAAUACUGAGGUAAAACAAGAAAAUGGGAAGUGUUUACAAGAUAAACCUCCUAAGAACCAUGAGAAUAAUUGUUAUAAAUGUGGUAUGAAGGGGCAUUGGUUGCAUACCUAUCGUACGCCCAACAUUUGGUCGACCUUUACUAAGCAUGAAUAAAAGGAAUGGAAGUUGAAAUGAACUUCAUUGAUAGUGAUGGCCAAGUGGAUCUAACCCAUUUAGAUGUUUCAGAUUUCUUUGAGAAUCCUAAUGGGAAAAUUGACCAUCUAAUUGGUGAUGGAAAUGUUUGUUAUGAUUAAACGUUAUGUUUAGUUAUUUGCAAAUAGGUUUAUUUUGUUAUCAUCUUUGAACACAUUGUUUAUUGUUCAUCUUUUAUAGUUUAUUUCACAUUUUAUUAUUUAUCAUUUAAAUUCUUUUCUUUAUUUAUACUUGAAGAUAUAUGAAUCUCUCUCAUAUAUUGAUCCAUCACUACAAUUAGUUUGAUUAUUGAAAUACCACCUUGUUAUUUCAUGUAUAAAUUGCUCAACACUUACAAAAUCAAAUGUGUGAGAUACUUACGAAAUAUAUAACUUUAAAUUAUCUUUUCAUAUUUGUUUUAUUGUGUUAUAUAUGCUCUCAUUGCUUUUACACAACUUAUUAAGUUAAGUCAUCAUCGAUGACUAAUAUUCUUCCAUUGAUUUUAAUUCUUUCUCUAUGAUAACAUUUCUUCAACUCUACAAAGACAAAGUCUUUAUGACAAUGUUUUAUGACUUAUUAAUUUGAUGAAACUCUUGUCUCAUUAAUUGCACAACAUUGAUGACAAACAAUGUUAAUACUAUAUCAGGUGACAGAAACCUGAUUAAAGGCUCCAGAAGAGCUUAUACUAUGUCACUAGUAGUAUUUGAUUCCAUGUGAAUGACACUUUAUACGAUGAUAGAUCCAGAAGAAUCUUGUAAGACCAACUUGGUCCCCCGGGGUAAAAGGUCAUAUGGAUGUACAUUACAAAACCAGAAGUUUUUAAUUAGUGACUAGUCUACCUAUACACUUAAAAGGUAGAAUGACAUGUUGUGCAGAUUAUCAUUUUAAUGAGACAAUUUUCUCACCGUUAGGGGGAGAAGAGCCAGUUCCAGAAGAACGGCGUGAAAUUAUUUGGAAUGCAUUGACUUUGACUCAUCUUGAUCCUCAUACAAAUCAAUGUGAAUUAGAAGUUCAAAGGACUAUUCAUUUGCAAAAUCUUACAAAUAAAUUACAAGAUGCAUUUAUUGAUACAAAGAAAGUGACAAAAUCAUAUAUCCCGGCUGCAAAUACUCUAGCACAGAUUGAUGUCCUUGUAGGACAGUUAACAAAUUAAUCUAAGAUACGCUUGAAGCGUGGUAGACCUAACGGCUCUAAGGAUGUAACUCUCCGGAAGAGGAGAACCCAAGAAAAACUUAGCACUCUAAAAGAGGCCAUAAAAAAUAACUGAUCAGUUUAAAAUUGAUAAAUCUAUAGCCCUGGAAGAGGCACAAAUAAUACAAGAAGCCCUUGAAGAGGCACAUAUAUUGAACAAAAAGCCCUUGAAGAGGCAUAAGUACCCGAAAAUUCUGAGAUCUCAGUAAGUUAUGUAUACACGGGAGAAAAAUUGGAUCAAAAUAAUAUUAUUUUCACUUUCCAAGUGGCCUUCAUAAGAAAUGAUGAAGAUCUUGAACCACGAAAUGUGGAAGAAUGCCGACAUAGAAAUGAUUGGCCAAAAUGGAAAAAAGUUAUACAGGCAAAGUUAAACUCAUUAAUAAAAUGAGAAGUUUUUGGACCUGUAGUCCAAACACCUGAAGAUGUAAAGCCUGUUGGGUACAAAGGGGUAUUUGUACGAAAACGCAAUGAGAAUAAUGAGAUCAUAAGAUAUAAAGUGUGAUUAGUAGCACAAGGUUUCUCGCAAAAACCUGGUAUUGACUAUGAGAAAACAUUAUUUCCCGUCAUGGACACAAUCACAUAUAAUUUCUUAAUUAGUUUGGCAGUCCAAGAAGGACUAGAUAUGCGUCUCAUGAAUGUUAUUACAGUAUAUUUAUAUGGAUCCAUGGAUAAUGAUAUAUACAUGAAAAUCUCUGAAGGAUUUAAAUUGCCUGAAGCAAAUUGUACAAAGCCUCGUAGCAUGUACUCAAUCAAGUUACAACGAUCCUUGUAUGGAUUAAAGUAAUUUGGAUGCAUGUGGUACAAUCGCUUUAGCGAAUAAUUGCUAAAAGAAGGGUAUAUGAAUAAUCUUUUAUGCCCAUGCAUCUUCAUUAAGAAAUCAGAAACCAGAUUUGCAAUUAUGGCAGUGUAUGUUGAUGACUUAAAUCUUGUUGGAACUCUUGAAGAGCUCACAAAAACAAAAAAUUAAUUGAAAAAUGAAUUUGAGAUGAAAGGUCUUGGAAAAACAAAAUUCUGUCUCGGUUUGCAGAUUAAGCAUUUUCCAAAUGGAGUUUUAUUACAUCAAUCAACAUACAUUAAGAAAGUUUUGAAGCAUUUUUAUAUGGAUAAAGUGCAUCCUUUAAGUUCUCCAAUGAUUGUCCGAUCACUUGAUGUGAAAAAUGACGCAUUUCGUCCUUGCGAAAAAUGAUGAAGAAUUAUUUGGUCCUGAAGUACCAUAUCUUAGUGCUAUUGGUGAACUUAUAUAUCUUGCCAAUUGUAUACGUCCAAACAUUGCUUUUUCUAUCAAUUUAUUAGCAAGAUAUAGUUUCGCUCCAACUCAAAGACAUUGGAAUGGUAUCAAACAUAUAUUGCGUUAUCUUUGCGAAACUACUAGUAUGAGUCUAUUUUACUCAAGAGAAUCAAAGCAACAAUUGCUUGGAUAUGCAGAUGCAGAAUAUCUUUUAGAUCCUUAUAAAGGUAAGUCACAAACAUGGUAUGUGUUUAAUUACAAUGGUACUGUUAUCUCAUGGAGAUCUAUCAAACAAACAAUGGUGGUCACGUCAUCAAAUCAUUCAGAAAUUCUUGCAAUUCAUGAAGCAAGUUGUGAAUAUGUAUGGUUAAGGUCAAUGAUCCAACAUAUUCAAGAAACAUGUGGACUACCUUCCAUUAGAGGCAAUGCAACCAAGUUACAUGAAGAUAAUGUUGCUUGUAUUGCACAAAUUAAAGGAGGAUUCAUAAAAGGUGACAUAACUAAGCAUAUCUCCCCUAAAUUAUUCUAUACUCAUGAGCUCCAAAAGAAAGGUGAGAUCGAUGUUCAACAUAUUCGAUCAUGCAAUAAUCUAGCAGAUUUAUUCACAAAGGCGUUACCUUCGACCGCAUUGAAAAAGUUAAAGUAUGACUUUGGAAUACGAAGAUUGAGAGAUCUACCAUUUGAAAUGUUGAAGAAAUCAUAAUCAUGUUUACAUGAGGAGGAGAAUGAUAAUAUGGAUAUACUGCACUAUUUUUUCCUUCGUCCAAGUUUUGUCCCAAUGGGUUUUACUGGCAAGGUUUUUAACGAGGCAAUUAUAGUAAUCCAAAAGAAUAUUGUACUCUUUUUCCUUCACUAGGGUUUUUCCCAUAGGGUUUUUCCUAGUAAGGUUUUAAUGAGGCAUAUUCUUAUGAUCAUCCAAGGGAGAGUGUUAUAAAAUAUGAGAUUUUGUACCACUAUGGUAACUUGUGGAUGAUCAUCCAUAAAUAUCUCUUGUAACUCCCUAUAAAAGGAAGAGACCCCUAAUGAAAUUGAAUAUAGAGUUUUCCCGUGCAUUCUAUUCUCUUCCUACAUUUUGAUUUCUCUUGUUUUCUUCUCCUUUCACUUUAUAAUUUUACAACAUAGAAAGUUUUUUCAGAUGUUCACCAAAUUUAUUGGGAUUUGCCUUAUACCACGAUGGCAUCUAGAAUGACCUCGCCAAGCGCAAAACUUCAUCCCUAUUAACAUAUGUGCAUAAGUUUUAUAUAUACUAAUUUUAUAUCUUCUAAUAUUUCUAAUAUAUUCAUAUAAAAAAUGAAAUAUUUAAAUACAAUUUUAAUAAAUAAAUUAAUUUUAAUCAUCUUAUUUUUAAAUUUCAUUUAACUAGUUAUUAAAUAUAUAAAAACUAUCAUGAAAAUCUUUUUAAUAAAUUAAUAUUUUUUAUAUCUUUUAUAUAUUGAUUAAAUUCAAGAGAAAUAUAAGCUCAUAAAUAAAAUGACAUAAUUUUUAAAAAAAAUAAUGAUACAUAUAUUAUAAUUUCUUUUAUAUUCUUAAAUACAUCCAAAUUAUAUAGAUCUUAUUUUAGUGGUAUAUCAAAUAAUUGUGUUUUAAUUUUUAUACGUUAUUAUCUAAUGUGACAAAUUUUGUCGUAUUUUGAUAUUUUAUUAUGACUUGAAUAUAUAAUCUACCUCAUUAUAGAUUUCAUAAAAUUUUGUAUUAAUAUCGAAUCGUUAGCUUAGAAGUCAAGAAUCCCAACUCAAUGGUCAAACAAUAUGGUAUGUGGGGCAUAUGAAAGUGAUCCUCCCAGCUUGGAGACAAAAAGUUGUUUUUAUUUUUAUUUAUUUAUUCUUUUUAACAAAUAGAGCAAAUUUUAAAAAUAAUUUUCUGUUUUUAAAUUUACUGCUCUUUGUACCAUGCAUGGAAGCGCCGACAUGGACAUUACCAACAUGGACAUUAGAUCAAAACCUAAAACGAGCAUAAUUCUUUAUGGAUAUUCUCCCGGCGGUGGUAGUUACCCGGUUGCUGAGGUUGCUUCAAAUUACUCACAACUUUUAUUGCCCUUAUUUUCAAACAUAUAUAGAAGGACGAUAUCCUAAGCAGAGAAAGCCAAAGAAACGUAAUCGAGUUGAAUACUUUCUCAGUUCCUACUUCCAGCGGAGGAAUAGAAGAACAGGCAUAGGGGAGGAAGAAAGACAAAAGCAAAAAUAAAUUAAUGAAUGAAAACGGCAGCCUACCAACUUGGACAUCAGAUCAUAUUUCCCUGGAUUAUUCAAAUGCCCAUCUACCUACAUACAAGUCCCCAUUCAUAUAUCAUCAAAUAUAAGCAAAGGAGAAACCAAUUCAAUGACAACUAGAGCUAUCAAAUCCAAUAUUUCUUUUAUUAAUUUACUUUUCAAUAAUGUUCAUAUGAACACAACAUUACAAUGUUUAGGGAAUCUUCAAGAUGAUAAAACAGUCUGAACUUGAAACUCAACCGUUUCAUUUGAGCUCACCAAGAGGGUCUAAUAAUCACUAGAUUACAAUCUAAAUUUAGAAAAAAAUAAUAAAAUAGUAUAAGAGUAUAAUUUAGUUUCGGAGAUAAAUACCUUACUCCUAUUCAACAUAAUAGGACAUUGAAGGGACCAUUCUCUUUUCCUUCACUUAAUUUGUCACCAUAGGAAUGCUAUGCAACACAACAGUUUCAAUAGUCAAGCCUGGUCCAAAACCAAAUAAUACUCCCCAAUCCAAUCCUUCACCUGUGGUGGCCCUCUCCCCCUUAAGGGAUUUCUUUCUCAUCUCAUCCAAAAUAAACAACACACAUGCACUUGACAUGUUUCCAUACUCACUUAGCACAUGCCUCGUUGCUUCGAGUUUCUUUUUAUCUAAAUUGAGUUUUGCUUCAACUGCAUCAAGAAUUGCAGGGCCACCUGGGUGAGCAAUCCAAAAUAAGGAGUUCCAAUCGCUAAUACCAAGUGGGUCAAAAGCCUGAGUCAAACAUUUCUCUAUGUUCUCAGAAAUUAAAGUGGGCACAUUGGGCCACAAAUGAAAGGUGAGUCCCACCUCACGUAAGUUUCCUGCAAUGGCACCUGCAGAAUUAGGAAUAAAUGUUUGGGCUGCUGAGACAAGCUGGAAGAGUGGUCGUUCAAUUGAGAUAUCCGGAUCUGAUCCUACGAUUACAGCUGCAGACCCAUCACCAAAAAGGGCUUGGCCAACUAAAGAGUCCAAAGCAUCUUCGGAAGGGCCGCGAAAUGUAACAACUGUGAUCUCAGAGCACACCACAAGAACUCGUGCUCCUGCAUUAUUCUCUGCAAGAUCCUUAGCGGUUCGAAGGACAGUUCCACCUGCAUAGCACCCUUGAUGGUACAACAUCACUCUUCUGACAGAUGGUUCGAGGCCUAAGAGAUUAGCGAGUUUAUAAUCUGCACCAGGCAUUUCUACACCUGAGGUGGUACAAAAUACAAGGUGGGUGAUCUUCGAUUUAGGCUGACCCCACUCUUUAAGAGCCUUCAAUGCUGCUUCCUUACCGAGCUUGGGUACCUCAGCAGUGAUAAUCUCUUGGCGUAUGUUAAGAGAUGGAGCCAUAUAAGCACCAAUGUUUGGGUGCUCCUCAAGCAUUUCUUCGGUCAAAUGAAUGUAACGCUUCUUGAUCAUGGAUUUGUCACCUGUAAAUGAAAUAACAUGAACACAUUAGUUUUACCAAUCAACAAGUGAUAUAGAAUAUCGUUGAAUAUGAUCGACAUGCAUUUAACAUUGAAGCAAGUAUAAAAGGUUAUUCUUAAUUAUAGCUGGCAAUGCGACAUGAUUCAAAGAACAGCUCUUCAAGCCAUUACAGUCAGAUGAAAUGAAUAUUAGUUACUGAAGUAAAAUAAUUUUCAAGUUUUCUGUAGUAUUUUAUCUAAAAGCUAUACUCUAGAAAGAUUGCAACAUUCAUUCACUUGGAGGUGAGCCUCACCUAGUGUCAGUCACAUAUAUACAGAACUGUUAUGCAUGUAAGAAAUUAAUGCAUGAAUAUACUUACAUAUGCGAUUGAACUUCUUCUUCAACGCAGUCAUGUGCUCGCUCUUAGUGACCCUGAAAUAGUAAUCAGCAUAAUCAGACUGGUAGACACAGUGGUCAGGGGUAGCUGUGCCAAUGGCUAGGAUGGUGGCCGGACCCUUGGCACGUUGAGCGUUUCUAAUUUCCUCGACUGAAGCCAUUGAUCCCAGCUACGUACUCAAAUUAAAGCCUAAGAUUAAGUUGAGGAAGGAAAGAGAACUCAGUGUGCACAAGUGCUUGGAGUUGGCUUGAGAAAGCUCGGUGUGAGUGUUGGCCUUUUAUAACCUGUGUUUCACCAACUCUCAUCCAUUGGUAGUCUUUGAAUUAUCAGUUGGCGUCAAAGUUUGUGUGCGUGAGUUUUUUUCCUGGUGGGGUUGAUUUUCAGACAUGUAUGCAUGCGUUAAUGUAUUUGUGUUGUUUUCUGUUCUUCACCUACCCAUAGGAAGGAGAAAGCAUUCAAUCCGGUCACAUUUGUUAUAUAUAGAGAUAAAGACUUUUCCAGCCUCCUGGAAAUUAAUGCAUUGUUCAUUUGACUUUUCCAUGUGUGGGAAGCUGCUACCAACUUUCUUAUUGAAGAAUUCAUCAAAGUCAUUCAAAUUUGGAUUUCUAAAUUUGAAAUAACCUCAACAACCCAAUAAUUAAUGCAUUAUUUUUCUUUUGCAGGAUUACAUCACAUGUUAUUUAACUUAUUCAAUAAGUAAUUCAACAAAUAUCUCAUUUUUAUUUAACCUAUUUCGUCAUCUAACUUGCUAAGAACUCGUUUGAUUCUCUCUCUCUCACACAUUGAAGAAUUCAUCAAAGUCAUUUAAAUUUGGAUUUCUAAAUUUGAAAUAACUUCAACAACCCAAUACCUAAUGCAUUAUUUUUCUUUUUCAGGAUUACAUCACAUUUCAUUUUACUUAUUCAAAAGUAAUUCAACAAAUAUCUCAUUUUUAUUUAACCUAUUUUGUCAUUUAGUGAUUGACUUUUCAAUUGACACCAACCUUUAAUGCUCCUUCAAUAAAACUCUUUAAUUACUAUGUUGCCCUUUUGAGUUUCCAUCAUUCUUUCAGUUGACAACAAUUCAUUCCCCAUAUAUAGGCUAUUUUUGUAAAAUGUUUCUUUCCAAAAAGGCACUAUAAAGUCCUUAUAAAACAUUAAAUUCCUUUUAUCUAUACAAUAUAUAAAAUUACAAUGUGUCUUUUUUUCAAAAAUAACUUUAUUAUUUCGAUUUUAUGCGCUUAUAUCAUAUCUUUAUUAUAUGUAAUUAAUUCAAAUAAUGUUUAUUUUUUCUAAGGACAAUUUACUCUUUAUAAAAAUUAUUAUAAUGUAAUUAAAAUAAUUUUAAUACGUUCAUAAAAGAUUUGGAUAAAAAAAAAAUCCUCUUUUAAAAAAAUGAUAAUAAUUUAGGUUUUUAAUACAAAGUGUUUCGACAUUUUUUUCCCAAAAAUAGUCUUAUCAUUUCUAUUAUAUGCGCUUAUAUCCUAUCAUUAUUAUUAUAUGUAAUUAAUUCAUAUAAUGUUUAUUUUUCAAAGGACAACCUACUCUUUUUAAAAAUUAUUAUAAUGAAAUUAAAAUAAUUUUAAUAUCUUCAUAAAAAAAAACUUAAAUUAGAUAAAGAUCCUCUUUAAAAAUUUUAAAAUGAUGAUAAUUUAAGUUUUUAUUAUUAAUUUAUUGAAUUAAAAAAAUUAGAUAAAAUUAAAGUUACAUAAAUACAAAAUAAUAUUUUUUUAGAAUCCGAAUUACAUAUUUUUUUUCUAUUACAAAUGCUUAUAUCCUAUCAUUAUUAGAUGUAAUUAGUAAUUCAAAUAAUGUUUUUUUCAAGGACAACCUACAUUUUAGAAAAAUUAUCAUAAUCUGUAUAUAUUAUAUAUAAAAGUACAAAGUAUUUGUAGUCUUAUCAUUUCUAUUAUAUAUGUUUACAUCCUAUUAUUAUUAUUAUAUCUAAUUAAUUAAGAUAAUAUUUGUUUUCUUCAAGGACAACCUACUCUUUAAAAAAAUUAUAAUAAUUUAAUUAACAAUAAUUUUCAUAUCUUGAUAAAAAAAAGAAGGGGGACUAGAUAAGGGUCCUCCAUAAAUAUAUAUAUAUAUAAUAAUUUAAGUUUUUAUUCUUAAUUUAUCUAUACUACAUUUAAAAGACUGAAGUGUUUGUCGAGUUUUUUUUCCUUGGCCUUAUCAUCUCACUUAUAUACAGUUAUAUUCAUCAUUAUUUUAUUUAAUUAAUUGAGAUAAUGUUUUUGGACAACCUAUAAAUUAAUUUAGAUAAUAUUUUUCUUUCAAAAAAAUAAUUAUAUAUGUUUUUUAAAAAAAAAUAAAAAACUAAUUUAGAUAAUGAUUCUCUUUAUAAAAAAAAUUAUCAUAAACUAAGUUUCCAUUCAUAAUUUAUUCAAUAAAAAAGAAAUUUAGAUAAAAAAAAAAUCAAAUAAAUAUAAAAAAAAAUUGUUUUGAAUUAAUUUGUCUUUUUAAUCCAAAUUUUAAAUAGGAUUUAAUGGUUAUUUAAUUUUAAAAAUAUUAAUAUUUCAAGAUGAUAUAAUUUGUUCGCUAAAAAUUUAAUAAAUUGUUCAUGUAUCAUGUAUUUAUUAUUAUUUUGAUUCAAAGUAUUCAUUGUUAUAUCAAUUCAAAAUGAUUUUUUUUUAUGAAUAUUUAUUUAUCAAAAUAAAUAUUAAGAGUCAUUAUCUAUUUAUUUUAUAUUUUUCAUUAAAAAAAUAUUAUUAUUAAAAAAAAAAAGUUUUUUUCACAUCGUUUCAUUUCCUACAGUGACUUUUCAUACAUAAUCAUUCAUAUCCAUUAAUUUCCUUUAUAUAUGACUUUUCAUACAUAUCCAUUCAGUCUCUUUAUGUGCAUUUUUCACCCAUCCAAAAACUUUUCAGUUCGUACCAUUCAUUUCUCAUUCAAUUCAUUUUGUAUCUCCCAUUCAAAAGGAAAAAAAAAAAAAAACACUAAGGCAAGAUGAUCAAGACUCUAUUUUCAAGUAAAGGUACUUAUAGGCAUAAAGAUGAGACUAAUUGGAAAACAAAUGAAGCUAUAAAGAAGAUAAAGACGAUUUCUCAAGACAAGUUCAAUGAGCAUUUGAACUUGACACAUGUUUGUUCUCAUUAAUUGUAUAGUAGUGGCUUCCUACUCAUAAGGGUGCAAAGUUAGGUAUCAAGGAGAGAUAAAUAUACAUAUAGAUUGAGAGAAUUUGAGUCGAAGUAAAGAUUGUUGGUAAUUUUGAAUCAAAAUAUUUAUUGUUUAUUUUUAGGAAAGUCAAUAUUUGUAGAGUUUAUGGUUGAGUAAAUUACCUUUCUAAGUUUGACUAGGAUUUUAAAACUUAUCCUUUAGGGUUAGCAUAUAGGACUCUAUCCAUAUGUGACUUUACAUAGGAUUUCAUGAGAGAUCGAAAAAAAUGAAUGAAGAGUGAAGAGAAAUAAGAAAAUGGUGCAUUGGGUUUUGGGUAGAGAGAGGUUGAUACAGUUUGAGUCUAUAUUUUUUAAGUUUAUAUUUUUUAAGUUUUUUAAUAAAUUCAAUCUCCCUCUAUAAUAGACAUAGGUGAUUAUGUUGAACCAAAUAAAUUGUUUCUCUUCCCUAAUUUAUUUUAUUUUUCCAAUUGUAUUUAGGUGUUGUUAUUUUUUCAUUUUAAAGUUUAUUAUAAAAUUGAUCUCCUUCUAUUGCGAACAUAGGCAAUUAGGUCAAACCAUGUAAAUCUUUUAUCUUCUCUAAUUUAUUUUAUUUUUCCUAUUGUAUUUGAGUGUUGUGAUUUUCCUAACAACUUUGCCUAUCUUUCUUCACUUUUUGUUCUCUUUUUGACCUCUCUUUUGAAAUCCUAUGAAAAAAACCAUAUAUUAAUAAAGUCUUAUAGAUUAACCCUUAAUGAUAAGUUUUGGAAUCCUUGUCAAACUUAAAAAGCCAAUUUACUCAAACAUAAACUCUACAAAUAUUGACUUUCCUCAAAUUAAAAAAUAAAUAAUUUGAGUCAAAUUUACCAACAAUCUCCACCUUGACUCAAGUUCUCUCAUUCUACAUGUAAGGUUAUCUUUUUUUGAUACCCACCUUUACACCCCCCUAUGAAUAAAACUAUCAGCUUGAGAUGCAUUUAUUGUCAGUUCACCCAUUGUCCCAUCGUAUGAUUUUUGUGAGUUUCAGACCCAUUAGGUCCAAGGGCUUCCUCAUAGCCUAAAACCAAUUAUUCUAUUCUAUUUUGUUUGUGGGGCAAAAAUAAGUUUGCAUACUUAAUAAGCUUUGUGAUUCGUACAUAAAAAGGAUGGAUUUAACUAGCAUUCAAAUGGAAAUCAUUUUGAUAUUGAAUUGGUGUAAAAAUAUAUUCAUAAACACCGAGAAAAUGUGGCUUCCUUGUUCUAUUCCUUUCGUUUGACCUAAAUGAAGUUAGUAAAAUAAAAUAAACUAGAGAAGAAAAUAUUUACAUGGUUUGGCCUAAUUGCUUAUAUCCACUACACAGAGAGGCCAAAUUUAUUAAUAAACUUCAUAAAUACAAACUCCAACUCUCUCAACCUCCCUUUACUAUAAACCUAAUACACUCUUUGCCUAACUUUCUUAACUCUUUGUUAACUUUUUCACUCCCUCUUGAAAUCAUAUGCAAAACCACAUAUUUAUAGAGCUUUAUGGUUUAAACCUAAAUCAAUAGUUUCAUAAUCCUAGUCAAACUUAAAAAGGUGAUUUAUUAAAAUACAAACUCUAUAAAUAUUGUCUUUCCUAAAAAUAAAGAAUAAGUUAUUUGAGGUAACUUCCAAAAACCUCAAUAUUGACUCAAAUUCUUUCAAUCUUACAUAAUUAAUGAGAAUAAACAUGUAUCAAGUUCAAAUUUUCGUCAAACUAGACUCAAGAAACUAUUUUUCUCUUUUUUGAUAACUUUAUUCCUUUUGCAAUUAGUAUCAUUCUUAUGCUAAUGAGUACUCUUAUUUGAAAAUACAAUCUUGAUCAUCUUGUUCCACUUUUCUACUUUGACAACUUCUUUAACACUAGGAAAAUACUCUCUAUGGUGUGGCUUCACCCUCAUAGCUUCACCUAAAAUUGUCUUCUCAAUUAAGGUGUAUAAAUAUUUCACAUUUUUCUUUUGCACUGUUAGGAUUGAGUCUAAAAAAACAUGAUAUGAUAUAAUAGAUUGAGAUUCAUUUAUAAAUUUUUUAUCUAUGUUUCUUGGUUUUUCAUUUAUUAUCCUAUUUGCAUUAAUUAGUUACUAAUUUGAGUAUACACACCCACAUCACUUGUAUUGUACAUAGCUUGGGAGCAUUAGGAGUUACAUAGAAAAUCCAAGUCAUGGGUUCCUUACAAAGUGAUGAGCUGUCUAUAGUUGGUUAAUAGAUUUGGGCAAUCUAUUUGAGACUAUAUUGCACUACCUCCUAAUUGGGGGGAUGACUUGUUCUAGUCAUAGGGAUGGUUUUCCCAUGGUAAGUGUACUAUUAUAUGUAAUGCACACUGGACAAGACUUAUGGCGAAUCAUGAUGUAAGUCAUAGGUUCCUUGAAAAGUGAUGAGUUGUCUAUAGUUUUUUUAAUGGAUUUGGGCAAUCUAUUUGAAAUUGUAGUGCAUUAUCUCCUAAUUGGGGAGAUGACUUGUACUGGUCAUUGGGAUGGUUUUCCCAUGGCGAGUGCACUAUUGUAUGUGAUGUACAUUGGACAAGACUUAUGGUAAAUCAUGACGUAAGGCUAUUAGUUAUCAUGAUUCACUUGUUAGGAUUGAGCCUUUAAAAGCAAGAAAUAAUGUAACAAAGUAAGAUUUUACUAUCCCCGGGUUAUCCCUUUUAUGCAUUGACUUUGAUUUGAACAUUCAACUCAUAUCUUUUACAUUGUACAUGACUUAGGUGGAUUAGGAGUUGUAUAAAGGAUACAAGUCAUUAGAUUCAUGUAAAUAGAUAAGUUGUCCAUAGUCAAUUUAUGGAUUUUGGCAAUCCAAUAGAGAUUGUAGUGCAUUACCUCCUAAUUUGAGGGAUGGUUUAUCUUAACCAUCAAGACUAAUUUCCCAUAGUGAGUGCACUAGUGUAUACUGGACAAGACAUAUGAUGAAUCAUGACAUAAGACUAUCAAUUGUCAUGAUUUAUGAAGCUACUAUAUUGUGUAGGCUCUCAACCUUGAGAGGAUAUCGAACCUAUGUCAAAAUCAACAAGAGGCUUUAAUUUAUGAGUGAGAUCCUAAAGUAGUCAUAUAUCCUUAUAGAUUGAGUUAUUCUUGAUGGAGGCUAGUGGUAAUAGGUAUUUUCAAUAAAUGUAUCAUGAUAUCUCAUGAAAUUGACGUAGUAUGUCCCCUUAGAUGGUCCAAAGGACAUGUGAUCAUGAAAUCUAUAACGUCGUAGUAAUUCCUUAAGUGGAAUUUGAUAAAUGCUCUUUAUGGGUUAGAGUAUGUCAAUUGAUCAUAUAAUAAGCGAGGUUUGUGACUUAAGGAUUAUAGAGAUAAUCUUGAUAGGUGAUAGAACUACCUUAUUAGAUUACAUAUACUAAUUCAUGAGGAGUCAACAUGCUGUGGAUAAUAGGUCAUGGACCCAAGCUUCGUGUCAUUGUUAUUUACAUAAGGUACUAGAAUAUAGUUAAUUCUCUUUAGUGGAAUGUUGAAUCAACUUCAAAAUUAGAUUUUGAGGAAGCCAAUACUCCUAUGGAUCCCAAUGGUCCCCAAACUGAGCUCAUAUAUCAUGAUGACACAAUUUAUGAAGGUUGGAGCUCUAAGUUCACUCUUAUACAUAGGAGUGUUUUAGUAAUUAUGCAAGGUAACACAAAGGAUAGUGAAAAAGGUCUCUAGAUUGGUCUAAUAGAUUAAUUAGAAAUCCCUAUGUGGUUAGUUGAUAAAUUAGGACUUGUUUUGGAUUAGAUUAAGUGACUCAAGCCUCGAUGGGCACAAGUCACUUAAGCCUAGUGAGUAACCCAAUAAAUACCUUUUUAGGGAUUAUAGUUUCCUAAUGACUUUCAAUUAGUCAUUUUCCACCUCCAAAGAGAGAGAGAGAGAGAUGGUUAAAGCUUUUUCUUUUCCAUUGCCCAUACUUUGGAGUGCCAAAAUCAUGGUUUGAGUCAUCAAGUAGAAGAUCUUAGGUGUACAAGACCUUUAGACUUCUUCUUAUCAACAUGGAAUUGAUCUGGGAACAUCUAAACUAGGGUAUGAGUUUUUCUUCUCUAGAUCUUUAUCUUAAUAUGGUUUUUGUAGCCAUAUGUUUCCCUUUUGGUAGAUUUAGAGAAGCCCUAGGAUAAUUUACAUGCACAUUACGAUAUUCAAGUUUAGGGAAUGGAGAAAUCCAGAUUUCCCAACAUCAUUAAACUACUAUACUACAUGGACUUUCAACCUUGAGAGCAUAUUGAGUUCGUGUUAAAGUCAAUAAAAGGCUUUGAUCUUUGACUGAGACCUUGAGGUGGUCACAUGUCUCUAUGAAUCGAGUCACUAUUGAUGGAGGUUGGUAGCAACAGGUAUUGUAAAUAAAGACACUGUGAUAUCUUAUAGGUUUGAGACAUCGUGUCCCUUUGGGUAAACCAAAGAACAUGUGAUCUAGAAGACUAUGACCAUAGUAUUUCUUUUAAUGGAAAUUUAACAUAUGCCCAUUAGAGCUAGAGUACGUCAAUUGAUCAUAUAAUGAAUGAGAUCUAUAACUCAAAUAUUAGAGAGGUGAUCUUGUUAGGUGAUAACACUACCUUGUUAUAUUAUAAACACCAAUUCAUAGAGAGUCUACAUGUAGUGGAUAAUAAGUGAUAGACCCAAGCUUUGUCUCAUUAUUAUUUACAUAGGGUAUUGAAGUGCAGCUGAUUCUUUGUAAUAGGAUGCUGAAUCAACUUCAUAAUUUGAUUUUAAAGGAGCAAGGACUCUUAUGGGUCCUAGUGAUCCCCACUCUAAGCUCAUAUACCAUGAUGACAUGAUUUAUGAGAGUUGGAUUGAUUAUAGGUUCACUCUUAUGUAUAAGUGACCUGAGCUUAUAUGGUUUAACUCACUUAAGUUUAGUAGGGAAACCAUAUAAAUAUCCCCUUAGGGGUUAAGGUUUCAUAAUCACUUUUCAAAAAGUCAUCUUUCAUUUUUAGAGAAAGAAAGAGAGGUACGAGACCUUCAAAGUUUUCAAAGUUUUCAGAAAGUCUCAUGAUAAAGAGUUUAUUUUAAUAAAGGUUACCAAAAUUGAGAUAGAACCUAGGAUGGCGUUGUAAUGAUGGGAGUGUAAACUGAGUAAAACCUAGCAUGGUGUCACAAUGACAAGCGUCCAAAGAAACUAAGGAUAAACUAAGAUAAAAACUAGGAUGAUGUUGAAAUGACAAGAGUCCAAAGUAGCUAAGAAUAAGCUAGCUUAGAUAGAUCUUAGGAUAACGUUGUAAUGAUGAGAAUUCAAAGGAACUAAGGAUAAACUGAGAUAAAACCGAGGAUGACAUCGUAAUCAUGGGAGUCCAAAGGAGCUAAGCAUACACUUAGAUAGAACCUAGGAUGGCAUUGCAAUGAUGAGUUCAAAGGAACUAUGGAUAAACUGAGAUAGAACCUAUGAUGAUCUCGCAAUGAUGAGAAUCCAAGGGAACCAAGGAAAAAUCGAGAUAGAUCAACCUAGGAUGAUGUCACAAUGAUAGGAGUCCAAAUGAAUUGAGAUAGAGUCUAGGAUGACGUGGAAAUGAUGGGAGUCCAAAGGAGCUAAGAAUAAACUUAGAUAGAACUAGGAUGAAGUCAUAAUGAUGGGCAUCCAAAGGAACGAACCAUAAAUUGAGAUAAAGCCUAGGAUGACAUCAUAAAUAGAACAUAAAAUGGUGUCACAAUGAGAGGAAUACAAAGGAAAUAAGGAUAAAUUGAGAUAAAACCUAAGAUAACAUCAUAAUAAUAAGAGUCUAAAGGAACUAAGCAUAAAUAAAGAUAGAACAUAGGAUGGUGUCACAAUGAUGGGAAUCCAAAGGAGCUAAGUAAAAACUUAGAUAGAACUUAGGAUGACGUUGCAAUGACAAGAAUCCAAAGGAACUAAGGAUAAACUAAGAAAGAACCUAGGAUUGUGUCACAAUGACAAGAGUCCAAAGGAGCUAAGAAUAAAAUUAGGUAGAACCUACGUAAUGACGAGAGUGAAAAGGAAUUAAGGAUAAACUAAUAUAGAACCUAGGAUCGUGUCGCAACGACAAGAAUCCAAGGGAACCAAGGAUAAACUGACAUAGAAUCUAGAAUGGUAUCGUAAUGAAGAAGGCCAAAGGAACUAAGGAGAAAUUGAGAUAGAACUUAGAAUGACAUCACAAUGAUUGGAAUCUAAGGAAACUAAAGAUAAAUAGGGAUUGAAUAUAUUUUAACAUUGUUAAAGCAUUUUACUGUCAUUUUUAAACAUAAUUAUGAAAAAAAAACUUUUUUAAAAAAAAGUUCAUUAAAAGAAAAAUGUUAAUUUCACUAACAUUUAUCUAAUUAUUGAUGUCAAAAAUCAUAUGAAUAUAUGAGAUAAAUGAUAAAUAAAAAAAAGAGUAAUAAUAGUAAAUGUAAUUACUGGUAUUACUCAAAUUUAUGAUUAAAAGUUUUGCGGAUUAUAAAAUUUUUACAACUUUUUUAAAACAUUUAUUUAGUAAAUCUAAGAGUAAAUUUAUUGGAAGCUCUAAAAUUCAAUUCACUAUUUUGUCAAAAAUCUAGGUCUAAUUUACAGUCACAAAAUUAUCCUAAAGUCUCACCUGCAGCCAUAGCCCUACCACAGGUAAGCUUUUUUUUUUUAUAAAAAAAAAAAAAUUAACUCCUCCUCAUUCCAAAUAAAAUAAAUCUUUAAUGAUAUUCACAGGCCCCUCAAGGGUACAGCAGGAGCCGGCAUGAACCAAAUUCCACGUCCACCUUAUUCUUCUAAUCCAAGCCAACCAAUCAAGUCCAGCCAUGUUAUCCACCCACCAAGCUUCACACUUGGCAACUCUUACAUGGGCCCACUUCUCAAGCGUGUCUAUCAUCUGUACCUUACACGUUAUCUUUGCUGAGAUGGCAGACGACGUGAUCUUCGCAUAUUAUAAUAAUGGCGGAUUGUGGAUGGCGGCGGAGACUUGUUCAAUGAUCUCAUGCUGAUUUUGAAUGCUCUUUUUGGUGGAGGGUGAAAGUAACAAAUUCAGCACCAGCCGCCAGCUGCAAGCCCGAUCGUCCAUUUCGUCUUUUAAGGAAAUUAAUUCAUCAACUUUAAGAAUUUUUGUGUAGAUUUUAAACUCAUGAGAAGGACACAUUUCUGUAAUUACAGCAAUGUCUUUAGCGGAAGUUUAGAUAAAAUUAUGUUUGUAGUCUUAAUUAUAAAGCAAAAUUGAUUUUUUUUUAAAUCAAGAAGUUGUCGGAUUUUUGUAUUCUGAAAUUUGUUUGUUUAUUUGUUUUAUUUUUUAAAAAAAAUUAUCGGAUUUUCGUAUAAUGAGUAUAGAAUUAGUCUUGCAUAUGUCUCAGUCUAAUAGGACUUAUGAAAAGUAAUAUUUUUCUUACAGCAUUUUUAGGUAAGGGUGAUAGUGCAGCUGUAGACGUCACCCAUGUUGUGGUGGUGGCCAUUUUACAUAUAUGAACUGUAGAGUACCCCACCUGAAUUCCACUCAUUUUACAUAUUUUUCAAAUCAGCAGCAUAUGUUGAAAAUUUUUUUGUAUGCUUAACAAAAACUCAUAUAUAUUCUUCCUUCAUUUUGAUAACAUACACAAGAAUAAACAAUGAUUUUAACUUGAGGUCUUUGAGGAGGUCCUCCAACAAUCGUAAAAUAACAAUUCAAUAUCUUUACUACCUUUUAUUUGAUUAAUAAAACAUGACUCAUGAAUAACUUUUCCCAUCAUUUCACCUAGUUUGAAUCUGUACCAACGCUAUGGAUCACAACGGUCUCAAUGGUUAGGCCUGGCCCAAAGCCAAACAAGACACCCCAAUCCAAUCCUUCACCUGUCGUCAUUUUGCCUUCCUUGAGCGAUUUCUUUCUCAUCUCGUCCAAAAUAAAUAGGACACAUGCACUUGACAUGUUCCCAUAUUCACUUAGAAUAUGCCUUGUUGCUUUGAGUUUUUGUUUAUCUAAACCGAGUUUUGCUUCAACUGCGUCAAGAAUAGCUGGGCCACCUGGAUGAGCAAUCCAAAAUAAGGAAUUCCAAUCACUAAUACCAAUUGGGUCAAAAGCCUUAGUCAAACAAUUCUCAAUGUUUUCAGAUAUCAAGGUAGGCACAUUAGGCCACAAAUGAAAGGUGAGACCCACUUCACGUAAGUUGCCUGCAAUAGCACCUGCUGAAUUAGGAAUAAAUGUUUGGGCUGCUGAAACAAGUUGAAAGAGUGGCCGUUCAAUCGAGGUAUCUGGAUCUGAUCCAAUGAUUACAGCUGCAGACCCAUCACCGAAAAGGGCUUGGCCAACCAAAGAGUCCAAAGCAUCUUCGGAAGGACCACGAAAUGUAACAACAGUGAUCUCAGAGCACACCACAAGAACUCGUGCUCCUGCAUUAUUCUCUGCAAGAUCUUUAGCGGUUCGAAGGACAGUUCCACCUGCAUAACACCCUUGAUGGUACAACAUCACUCUUCUAACAGAUGGUUCGAGGCCUAAAAGAUUAGCGAGUUUAUAAUCUACACCAGGCAUUUCUACACCUGAGGUGGUACAAAAUACAAGGUGGGUGAUCUUCGAUUUAGGUUGACCCCACUCUUUAAGAGCCUUCAAUGCUGCUUCCUUACCAAGCUUGGGUACCUCAGUAGUGAUAAUCUCUUGGCGUAUGUUAAGAGAUGGAGCCAUAUAAGCACCAAUGUUUGGGUGCUCCUCAAGCAUUUCUUCGGUCAAAUGAAUGUAACGCUUCUUGAUCAUGGAUUUGUCACCUGUAUAUAAAUUAAAUAACAGUAAUAUGUAAGCUCAAGGCACACUAGUGAAACAAAAUCAAUUCAAUGGGUAGAUUGAUUGUUCAAGAUGAUCAAACAUUGUUCAAGUGAAUGUAAAAAGAUUCAUCCUAAUACAAUAUAAAAGCUUAUUUUUUAUUACAUCAAUUAAUAACGUGAUCCCAAGCGUUAUACCAUGUGAUUCAAAGAGCACCUGCUCAUACCAUCACUCACAGAUGCAUUGUAUUAAUUUAAAAUGAGUACACAGAAAGCUUGAAAAAGAUGUUUCAGUGGUCGUAGGUGAAUCAUAUGUAUACACAAUUAUAUGUAUAUGAAGGAUGUUAAAAUUAUACUUACAAAUGCGGUUGAACUUCUUCUUGAGCUCGGUCAUGUGCUCGCUUUUAGUGACCCGAAAAUAGUAAUCAGCGAAAUCAGACUGGUACAGACAGUUGUCCGGGGUAGCUGUGCCAAUGGCUAGAACGGUGGCCGGACCCUUGGCACGCUGGGCAUUUCUAAUUUCCUCCACAGACGCCAUGGAUAGUGUGUGAUGACUACUGAAAUGGAAGCUUCAAAGUUGAAGAAGGGAAGAGAAAUGAAAUUUUAGGAGCACAAGUGCUUGGAGCUGUCUGGCCAAAGUUGUGUCUUGAGGUUGGUAUUUAUAAUCACCACAAAUGCUGUCUCACCAACUCUCAUCCACUUCCAUGUAGGUAGGCGUGCAUUUGAAUAAUCCAGUGCCAUGGGGUUUGAUUUCCAACUUGGUAGGCUUCGGUUUUCAUUCUUUAUUUUAUUUUUCUGUCUUUCUUCUUCCUCUAAAACUCUUUUGGUCUUUUUAACCCACGUAAGGCGGUUGGAAGCUUACCCUUUUUGACUCCAAGUUGGUAGCAUCACUUUCAUAUCCCCCGAGUACUAUUUGACAAAAGACCCAAAAUUUUCACGUGCUGGGCCAGCUGCUGCCGGCUGGACCAAGCAUAAAUAUAGAUGUUGAACAAAUAAAUUUAUUGUUUAACAACAAUGAAGGUAAAAAUUAGUUACUAUUAACGAACAUAAAUAUUCGUUAAUUAAUGAGGAUAUCUGUUAUCAAAAUUAUUUUUAAAAGUUUUUAUAUUUGAUAUUAUUUAGUUUUUAAAAAAAAAAAAAAAAAUUCCUUAAUUUUGAAGGCAGAAGCUCACCCAUUUUGACUCCAAGCUGGUAGGGUCAUUUUCAUAUUCCCAAGUACAAUAAUAUUUGACCAUUGAGCUGGAAUUCUUUACUUGAUCUUCCACAUCAUGUUGGACCAAGCUAAUUAUCGGUAUUAAUACAGAAAUUUAGGAAAUAUGUAAUCUGGCAGAUUAUACAUUCAAGUCCUAAAUUAAUAUAUACCUUUUUGUCAAAGUUAUUUACAUCAGAACUUCUUCGAAAAAAGUUGAUAUCGAAUAUCACUUGAGAGAGAAAUAUGAUUGAUAAAAAAUAACACUUUCUAACUAACCUUCUAAAUUUUGAAUGAAAGUUGUUUUAGUGUAUUGGAAUUUGUUUAAAAAAAUAAAUAUUUAAUAUAUAUAUAUAUAUAUAUAUAUAUAAUCAAUGAACUCAAUAAACUUUUUGGUUUGACUUUCCAAUUUUUUCAACAAAAUGACAUAUUUUUUCAACAAAACGACAAAUAUAAGAAAAUCAAGAAUAAAAACGCAAGCAAGGAGGAAUAAUUUACGAAGUAUCUAAAAUUCAAUCCUCUAUCUAUUAUAGAGAAAACAAAGAGCGGAAAAGUAAUCCAAAAUGUAUCAAAGAUACUCCCUCUUUCUUUCCAUUAAAAGUGUAGUAACCAAUGUCUCAUAUGAUUUUGGUAGGGAUGCCAAUAAAAUAGUAGUUUCAUCUUCCUCAUCAAUGUUGACCUUUACGCUCAAUAAAUAGGUUAUACACUUAUUAAAUUUAUUUAUAUGAACAUCAAUUCCUUCAUUUAUCUUCAAACUCAUAUAAUUGUUAACUACAAAAAAAUUGAGUUUUGCCAACCCACUUAAGUUUACUUUUGUAAUGGAUUUAAGUUGUCAUAAAUUUCUAAGACACCUACUCAAUCCAUUGCAAAUUGCAUUACUCAUCGCAUAUAUAUGUAAUUUUUUUAUCAACAGUAAUUGCAAGUUGUUGAGUUAAAGACUGAUUAUGUAAGGACCUGUAUGGGAAAUGAUUGUGAUAUUUCAUAUUAGAUAGGAGAAAAAGUUUUCAGUAUUAUAUAUGUAUGAGUUCCUUUUAAUUUUGUGAAUACCUUUUAAAACUUGAGGCAUUUUAGGCUCAGAGUGAGCAAUAUCUUUAUUAUUAGGAACAUGUUGUUACAUAUUACUUGAAUUUUACAUUAAUCAUAAGGUUAUUUAAUAAUGUUAAAUUAAAAUUUAACUUUAAUAACUUCAAUAAAAAAUAAUUAAUUUUAUGACUUGAAUAUAUAAUCAACCUCAUCAUAGAUAUCAUAAAAUUCUGUAUUAAUAUCGAAUGGUUUGCUUGGCCCAGCACGUGAAAGACACUGGGUCUUUGACCUUGUAAGUCAAGAAUCCCAACUCAAUGGUCAAACAUUAUGGUACAUGGGGGGAUAUGAAAGUGGUCCUACCAGUGUGGAGAUAAAAAGGGUAAGCUUCUGGCUACAAGAUGUUUUUAUUUUUAUUUGUUUAUUUAUUUUAACAAAUAUAGCAAAUUUUAAAAAUAAUUUUCUAUUUUUAUGGAUAUUCUGCCGGUGGUGGUAGUUACCCAGGUUGCUGAGGUUGCUUCAAAUUACUCACAACUUUUAUCGCUCUUAUUUUCAAACAUAUAUAGAGAAAGCCAAAUAAACGUAAUCCAAUUGAAUACUUUCUCAGUUCCUACUUCCAGCGGAGGCAUAUAAGAACAACAGGUAUAGGGGAAGAAGAAAGACAAAAGCAAAAAUAAAUUAAUGAAUGAAAACGGCAGCCUACCAACUUGGACAUCAGAUCAUAUUUCACUGGAUUAUUCAAAUGCACAUCUACCCACAUACAAGUCCCCAUUCAUAUAUCAUCAAAUAUAAGCAAAGGAGAAACCAAUUCAAUGACAACUAGAGCUAUAAAAUCCAAUAUUUCUUUUAUUUACUUUUCAAUAAUGUUCAUAUGAACACAACAUUACAAUGUUUGAGGAAUCUUCAAGAUAAUAAAACAGUCUGAACUUGAAACUCAACCGUUUAAUUUGAGCUCACCAAGAGGGUCUAACAAUCACUAGAUUACAAUCUAAAUUUAGAGAAAAUAAUAAAAUAGUAUAAGAGUAUAAUUAGUUUAGGAGAUAAAUAACUUACUCCUAGUUGACAUAAUAGGACAUUGAAGGACCAUUCUCUUUUCCUUCACUUAAUUUGUAACCAUAGGAAUGCUAUGCAACACAACAGUUUCAAUAGUCAAGCCUGGUCCAAAACCGAAUAAUACUCCCCAAUCCAAUCCUUCACCUGUGGUGGCCUUCUCCCCCUUAUGGGAUUUCUUUCUCAUCUCAUCCAAAAUAAACAACACACAUGCACUUGACAUGUUUCCAUACUCACUUAGCACAUGCCUCGUUGCUUCAAGUUUCUUUUUAUCUAAAUUGAGUUUUGCUUCAACUGCAUCAAGAAUUGCAGGGCCACCUGGGUGAGCAAUCCAAAAUAACGAGUUCCAAUCGCUAAUACCAAGUGGGUCAAAAGCCUGAGUCAAACAUUUCUCUACGUUCUCAGAAAUUAAAGUGGGCACAUUGGGCCACAAAUGAAAGGUGAGUCCCACCUCACGUAAGUUUCCUGCAAUUGCACCUGCAGAAUUAGGAAUAAAUGUUUGGGCUGCUGAGACAAGCUGGAAGAGUGGUCGUUCAAUUGAGACAUCUGGAUCUGAUCCUACAAUUACAGCUGCAGACCCAUCACCAAAAAGGGCUUGGCCAACUAAAGAGUCCAAAGCAUCUUCGGAAGGGCCACGAAAUGUAACAACUGUGAUCUCAGAGCACACCACAAGAACUCUUGCUCCUGCAUUAUUCUCUGCAAGAUCCUUAGCUGUUCUAAGGACAGUUCCACCUGCAUAGCACCCUUGAUGGUACAACAUCACUCUUCUAACCGAUGUUUCGAGGCCUAAGAGAUUAGCGAGUUUAUAAUCUGCACCAGGCAUUUCUACACCCGAGGUGGUACAAAAUACAAGAUGGGUGAUCUUUGAUUUGGGUUGACCCCACUCCUUAAGAGCCUUCAAUGCUGCUUCCUUCCCAAGUUUGGGUACCUCAACAGUGAUAAUCUCUUGGCGUAUGUUAAGAGAUGGAGCCAUAUAAGCCCCAAUGUUUGGGUGCUCCUCAAGCAUUUCUUCCGUCAAAUGAAUAUAACGCUUCUUGAUCAUUGAUUUGUCACCUGUAAAUGAAAUAACAUGAACACAUUAGUUUUACCAAUCAACAAGUGAUAUAGAAUAUUGUUUAAGAUGAUCGACUUGCAUUUAACAGUGAAGCAAGUAUAAAAGGUUAUUCUUAAUUAUAGCUAGCAAUGCGAUAUAAUUAAUCAAAGAACAGCUCUUCAAGCCAUUACAGUCAGAUGAAAUGAAUAUUAAUUACUGAAGUAAAAUAAUUUUCAAGUUUUCUGUAGUAUUUUAUCUAAAAGCUAUAUUCUAGAAAGAUUGCAACAUUCAUUCCCUUGGAGGUGAGCCUCACCUAGUGUCAGUCACAUAUAUACAGAACUGUUAUGCAUGUAAGAAAUUAAUGCAUGAAUAUACUUACAUAUGCGAUUGAACUUCUUCUUCAACUCAGUCAUGUGCUCGCUCUUAGUGACCCUGAAAUAGUAAUCAGCAUAAUCAGACUGGUAGACACAGUGGUCGGGGGUAGCUGUGCCAAUGGCUAGGAUGGUGGCCGGACCCUUGGCACGUUGAGCAUUUCUGAUUUCCUCGACUGAAGCCAUUGAUGCCAGCUACGUACUCAAAUUGAAACUUGAGAUUAAGUUGAGGAAGGAAAGAGGAGUGCUUGGAGUCGGCUUGAGAAAGCUGGGUGCGAGUGUUGGGCUUUUAUAACCCGUGUCUCACCAACUCUCAUCCAUUGGCAGUCAAUGAUCAGUUGGCUUCAAAGUUGGUGUGCGUGAGUUUAUUUUUGGAUUCUCAGACACGUAUGCAUGUGUUAAUGCAUUUGUGUUGUUUUAUGUUCUUCACCUACCCAUAUAUGACGAGAGAGCAUUCAAUCGGGUUACGGCUUCUCAUUAUAACAUUUCUUUAUAUAUAGAGAUAAGGACUUGUCCAGCCUCUAACUGGAAAUCAAUCCCUUGUUCAUUUGACUUUUCCACUUGUGGGUGGCUGCUACCAACUUUCUUAUUGUUGAUGAUAUCAAAUUCAUUCAAAGUUGGAUUUCUAAAUUUGAAGUUAUAAUCUCAACAACUAAGAGACUAUUUUUCUUGUUCAGUAUUACAUCACAUGUCAUUUAACUUAUUCGAAAGGUAAUUCAACAAAUAUCUCAUUUUUAUUUUUUAAAUUGCUGGGCAUUCAACAAAGGUAAGACACUAUUUCGUGAUAUAAGUUGCUGGGCAUUCGUUUGAUUUUUUAAAUUCAUUUCAAGUUCAAAGAUUCCCUUUUUUAUUUUAAUUUUUUUUAACAUAAAUUUGAUUAAAAAUAUAUUCAUAUAUAGCAUUUUAGCAAUACUUCAUAGCAUUCCUAAUUAUAUUAAAGCAAUUUAAAGUAAAAUUCAUUCAAGGAAAACAAUAUAGCUAUUGAAAAUUAGACAAGUCCGUAAAACAUAUUUAAAUGUUAUAUGCAUUACUUCCCAAUAUAGCUAAGUGAUUAAUUGGAAGUAAUUUUGUUUUGAUCGCCACAUUCAAUCGUCACUUAGUCAUAUCAACUUAUGUACCAAUGAAGUCCUUAUAACCCAAUAAUAGAAAUUUGUUCUUCUUUAUUACUCUCUCUAUCUCUCUUUAAUUGGAGAAAUAGUGAUGUACCUCAUCUUAAAGCCGACUUAAUUUUAAAAAAGAGCACAGUAAUUAGUAAAAUUUUAUUAGUCCUAUAGACUAACCCUAAACAUUAAGUACCCUAAUGUUAAUUAAACUUAGAAAGGUAAUUUAUCCCAAUCCAAACUCAACAAGUAUUGAUCACUUUUGUAUAAAUAAAAAAUUGAAAAUCAGGGUCAAAAUUACCAACACAUAAGACCCAUUCUAUUGAUCACAAUUUUUUAUUUUUUAUUUUUUUAAAAAGAUCUUGAUUAAUGGAAAACUCAUAAUUUUAAAAAAUUUCCAAUAGGUGUUACAUGACCAAAAAAUUAUAGACUAAAAUAACUUUCAUUCCAAAUUUAAAAAUUUGGAAUCAUGAGCUUGGCCCAGCACGUGAAAGACAUUGGGUUUUUGUCAUUGCAAGUCAAGAAACCGAACUCAGUGGUCAACCAUUAUGGUACUUGGGGGAUAUGAAAGUGAUCCUAGCUACCAGCAUGGAGUCAAAAAGUGUGAGCUUCUGGCUUCAACAUGUUUCACCUACUUUGGUCCAAAAGGGCAAGCAUUCAACACCAUGCAAGUGGAUGAGAGUUGGUGGGACACAGCAUUUGUGGGUGAUUAUAAAUACCAACCUCAAGACACAACUUUGGCCAGCCACCUCUAAGCACCUGUGCUCCAAAGGUUUCACUUCUCUUUCCUUCUUCAACUUUUGAGUAGUCAUCACACCAUCAAUGGCGUCUGUGGACGAAAUUAGAAAUGCUCAGCGUGCCAAGGGUCCGGCCACCGUUCUAGCCAUUGGCACAGCUACACCGGACAACUGUCUGUAUCAGUCUGAUUUCGCUGAUUACUAUUUUCGGGUCACUAAGAGCGAGCACAUGACCGAGCUUAAGAAGAAGUUCAACCGCAUUUGUAAGUAUAAUUUUAACGUCCAUAACAUGCAUACAGUGAUGUAUACAUAUGAUAAUGCUUUUAUAUGGUACUCAGAUGAAUCUUUUUACACUCACUUUAACAAUGUUGAUCAUCUUGAACAACGAAUCUACAUAUUACUGAAUUAGUUUUGUUUUAAUUGCUAGUGUGCCUUGAGCUCAUAAAUUAGUAUCAUUCAAUUUAUACACAGGUGACAAAUCAAUGAUCAAGAAGCGUUAUAUUCAUUUGACGGAAGAAAUGCUUGAGGAGCACCCAAACAUUGGUGCUUAUAUGGCUCCAUCUCUUAACAUACGCCAAGAGAUUAUCACUACUGAGGUACCCAAGCUUGGUAAGGAAGCAGCAUUGAAGGCUCUAAAAGAGUGGGGUCAACCUAUAUCGAAGAUCACCCACCUUGUAUUUUGUACCACCUCGGGUGUAGAAAUGCCUGGUGCAGAUUAUAAACUUGCUAAUCUUUUAGGCCUCGAACCAUCCGUCAGAAGAGUGAUGUUGUACCAUCAAGGGUGCUAUGCAGGUGGAACUGUCCUUAGAACCGCUAAGGAUCUUGCGGAGAAUAAUGCAGGAGCACGAGUUCUUGUGGUAUGCUCUGAGAUCACUGUUGUUACAUUCCGUGGGCCUUCUGAAUCCGCUUUGGACUCUUUAGUUGGCCAAGCCCUUUUUGGUGAUGGGUCUGCAGCUAUGAUCAUUGGAUCAGAUCCAGAUAUCUCAAUUGAACGACCACUCUUUCAACUUGUCUCAGCUGCCCAAACAUUCAUCCCCAAUACCCAAGGUGCUAUUGCAGGCAACUUACGUGAAGUGGGUCUCACUUUUCAUUUAUGGCCUAAUGUGCCUACUUUAAUUUCUGAGAACAUAGAGAAAUGUUUGACUCAAGCUUUUGACCCACUUGGUAUUAGUGAUUGGAACUCGUUAUUUUGGAUUGCUCACCCAGGUGGCCCUGCAAUUCUUGACGCGGUUGAAGCAAAACUCAGUUUAGAUAAGCAAAAACUCAAUGCAACAAGGCAUAUUCUAAGUGAAUAUGGAAACAUGUCAAGUGCAUGUGUGUUGUUUAUCUUGGAUGAGAUGAGAAAGAAAUCGCUUAAGGAAGGAAAAACAACUACAGGCGAAGGAUUGGAUUGGGGUGUUUUGUUUGGCUUUGGACCAGGCCUAACCAUCGAGACUGUUGUGCUGCAUAGCAUUUGUAUGGAUUCAAACUAAGUCAAACAACAGAAAAAAUAAUUUGUGAGCCAUAGAAGAGAUGGUUUUAACUUCCUCAUAUACUUCAAGUUAAAACCAUGAGAGUCCAAGUUCCCACCAUUGUAGUACGCCGACCAUUCCUCAAAGUUUGUAGUCAUUGUUUAUUCUUAUGUAUGUUAUCAAAAUGUAAUAAAAAGAAGGAAUGGAUUUGAGCUUUGCUUAUGCAUGUAAUUAAGUACGAAAUUUUCAACAUAUGAAUUUUCCCAUACUGAUGUAGUUUGAGUUCUACUUGAACACCAACGUGUCUAAUUUUUUUUUAGAAAAUUAAGAUUAAAAGGAUGAACACUAACCUAAAAUUUGAAGAAUCCACCUUUCAUGACUCCUAUUAGACUAAAACAUAUACAAGACUAUUUCUAUAUUGAUAAAACUUUCUAUUAUUAUAAAUUUUUUUAUCAUAUUAUCAUAUUUGAAAAUGAGUUAUUCUUUCAUAAAACUAUCCUAUUAUUCUAUUAGCCUAAAGUUUUUUCAUAACAUAAAUUAAGUUAUAAACUGAGUUGUUCUUUCAUAACCAAUCUAACAAGUCAUUUGGAAAUAGUUUUAUUUUUUAUUUUAUUUAAAAAAGAAAUAAUGUUUUUAAACAUUUUAAAUAAAUUAAUAUGUUUAUUUGUGUAUUCUUAUCCUUUUCAUAUCCUCAAAAUAAUUUUUGAAAUAAAAAGUUGAUUAACAUAAUUGUUUUCCAAGAAUUAAAAAAAAAAUCUUUAUAAUAAGAAUAAAAACAUGAUUUCAUGUCAACUUAACUUUGAAAAAUCGUCUAUUAACAUAAUUGUUUUCCAAGAAUUCGGAAUUCAAGUUGAGUCUAGCUUCCUUAUUAAUUAAUCCUACAAAAUAUUUAAACAAUAAAAAAUGCUUUGGUCAACAAAAAAAAUAAAAAUAUGGGUCAAAUGAAACUUUAAUUAUUCAUCAUAUUGAGACCAACCAGUAUGAGAGAUUUAUCCCUUUUCUUGGCGACUUCGGACGAAGCAAACAUGUACCGAAUUUAGAAAAAAAUAAUGCCGCAAUUAUAGAAUGUUGUGUUAUUGUUGACUUCUCCUUCUCAUUAGUUUAAAAUAUAAUCUAAAAAUGACGAUCUGCUUGCUUGCAGUUGCAGGCCGAGGCUGAAUUCAUAUAAUCACCCCCUCCAUUGGAACCAAAAAGCAAAUUCAAAAGCCAUGGUCUCAUAAACUUCCACACACUUCUUUAGGAAGCCAGCUUCCUGCAGUAGUCCGCAUAAAAUUAUACCUCUCUUUUCUUUAUUGGGCUAUGUUUUGUCCAGCCCAUGAGCCCAUAUAUUAGACUAUUUUAUAUUUCGGUAUUCCUUAAACCCAAAUUUAGAUAUAUAAAUACCAUUAGAUCUUUGAUAUUACGAGUGAGAAUGGAGAUUUGAUUGAGAAAAGAAAAGAAAAUUAGGGUUGUUUUUUCGACACUGUUAUGGGGCUCAAGGUGAAGUUACAGGUUCUUUCAUUAACCUUUUGGAAAGUUCCUAUGGUAUGUUUUCUUCCUAAUUUUUUUUUUCAUGUUUCCUAGGGUGAUGGAUUCCCACCUCAAGCAUUGAGAUAUUUAUAUAAGCUUUCAAGGUGAAGAAACCUAAGAACUUAAUUAUUGUAUCCCUAUUUAUUGAAGUGGAAGAUAUUUUCUCCGUGGUUUUUUACCUCAAUUUGGAGGGGUUUUCCAUGUUGUAUUUGAUGUCCUCUUUUUGGUUGAAUAUUCUUGAUUAUCAUUUUUUAUUCUUGUUAGGUUGUUAUUAUUGUUGAGGGGUGGUUAUUAUUGUUGAGUGGUGGUUAUUAUUGUGGAAGAAUCUUUUAACCUUGAUAGGUGAAUACUCUAGAUCUCUUCUUUUAUCUUCCCAACAAGUGGUAUCAGAGCCUAGUUGUGGGAACGUUUAUUUUUGAAAAUUAUGGAGAUAGAAGGGAACUGAACCUACAUGAUAAAACUUAACAAUUCAAAUAGGGCUAUGUGGAAGUCCAUGAUGGAAUAUUUUCUCACCAUCAAAGAUUUGUUAGAUACUGUUAAGGGUGAAACAUCAAGACACAAAGAUAUUUCUGAUUUGGAAUGGAAAAAAAUGAAUAAAAAGGCAAUUACCUAUAUUAGGUAAUGGAUUGACACAUCCUCACGCAACCAUGUGGAAAAGGAAACAAAUGCCUAUAAUCUCUGGAAGAAAUUGAAAUUAGUGAACAUGAAGUUAAAGGAAGUAACAUUAAUGACAAGUCACUUGAAUUCUUUUCAGAGUAUUGUUAAUUAAUUGGUUGCUAUGAAAAUGGUUAUGGAUGAUGAGAUGCAAGCAUCUUUGUUGUUGUAUUCAUUUCUAGAUAGUUGGGAAACUUUUGUUGUGACUAUUAGCAACUCUGUUCCGAAUGGUGCAUUGUCUAUAGAGCUUGUGAAAGGAAAUUUGUUCAAUAAAGAGACAAGAAGGAAGGCUUAUGACAUAGAAAAGGCACAGGCCCUCGUCACAGGAAGUAGAGGAAGAAACAAGAAUAAAUGACAGAAAGGUCAUGACAAGUUUGAGGGAAGGUCCCAAUCCAGAGAUAAAAUCAAAUGUUUUCAUUGUGGAAAAGAGGGGCAUAUGAAAAGGAAUUGUCAAAUUUGGAAAAGGAAACAAAAUGAACAGAAUCAGGAAAAAGAUGACAAGAAUACCACAACCCCUAUAUCAAACAAUGAUGAAGUUUUAGUGCUCUCAAAUGAGUGUUUGCAUGUAGAUGAGAAAGGAGUUGAGUAGAUUGUAGACACUAUAGCCUUCUACCAUACUACUCCUCACUUGGAGUUGUUUUUUGAUUGUAGAGUUGAAGAGUUUGGCACAAUCAAGAUGGGAAACUCUAGUCACUCCAAGAUUGUAGGAAUGGGUGAUGUUUGCUUUGAAACCAAUAUGGGGCAUAAGUUGACAUUGAAAGAUGUAAGUCAUGUUCCAGAUUUACGCUUUAAUCUAAUGUCAAGUUUUGUCUUGGAAAAUCAAGGUUAUGAAAAUCACUUUGGCAAAGGCAAAUGGAAGCUCACUAAGGGCCCUUGGUUGUUGCAAAAAGAGAAACAUGUUGCACUUUGUACAAAACCUAAGGAAAAGUUUGUAAUGAUGAGUUAUAUGCUCUAGAGGCUACUUCCUUGAAGUUGUGGCAUAAAAGGUUCAUAUGAGUGAGAAAGGAUUGCAAGUUUUGGCAAGGAAGUUCUUAAUUCCUUUGGCCAAAAAAUGAAUCCUUGUCUUCUUGUGAUCAUUGUUUGGUUAGAAAACAACAUAGUGUUUCCUUUAGUAGCAUAUCUAAAAAGAAUUUAAAGAAGUUGGAGUUGGUAUACUCUGAUGUUAGUGGCCCCAUGGAAAUGGAAACUCUUAGAGGAAACAAACACUGUCAUUUUUAUUGAUGAUGCUACCAGGAAGGUAUGAAUUUAUUUGCUCAUAUCAAAUGAUUAAGUCUUUCAGUAUUUUCUAUAGUUUCAAGCCAUGGUUGAAAAAGCGACUAGAAGGAAAUUGAAGUGUAUCAGGAUUGAUAAUAGAAGUGAGUACACCUCAAGGGAGUUUGAAACUUACUGCACUAAGAAUGGUAUAAGUCAUGAAAAAACAAUUCCUCGCACUCCAUAGCAUAAUGGUGUGGCUGAAAGAAUGAAUCGCACCAUCAUUGAGAGGGUUAAGUGUAUGCUAAAGAUUAUAAAGUUGUCUAAGGCAUUUUGGGGUGAAGCUGCUCAAACUGCCUACUAUUUGAUAAAUAGAUCUCCAUCAAGUCCAUUGAACUUUGAGGUUCUAGAGAAGGCAUGGACAAGAAAAGAGGUUUUCUAUUCCCACUUAAGGGUCUCUCUGAAUGUAAAACUUUUGUGCAUGUUCCCAAAGAACAGAUAUCCAAACUUGAUGAUAAGGCAGUUCCACAUGUCUUUGUUAGGUAUGGUGAUGAAGAGUUUAGAUUCAAAUUGUAGGAUCCAACCAAGAAGAAAUUGGUGAGAAGUAGAGAUGUGGUCUUUUAAGAGAAUUGAACGUUGGGAGAUUUUGACAAAGCUAAUCAAUCUAAAGGUACAAGUGACGACUUCAUUCAGUUGGUACCUAUUCCUCUAUUAUUAAAGCAACCCAAAAAUGAACAAAAAAAAAAAGGAAAUUGAUGAGCUACCAAGAGACGAUAGUACUAGUGACAUACAUGCAUAGGAGCUAGUUGAGCAUGAUGAGUAGGAGGAACAGUCACUUCAUCAGGAGGAUUUGGUAACCUAGGCUAGAAGGUCUACUAAAGAGCAUCAUCCCUCUACUAGAUGUCCCUCUUCUGAGUACAUGUUAGUAAUUGAUGAGGGGAAGCCACAGAGUUUUCAAGAAGCUAUGCAAGAUGAGAUGGAUUCCUUGCAGAAAAAUGAAAACUAUGAGUUGGUACAACUUCCUAAAGGAAGAAAAUCAUUGAAAAACAAAUGGGUGUUCAAGUAGUUGAGGGAUAUGGUUGAAGAAAAUGUAGCUAAGUUGAAGAAGGUUCACAUAAACAAAAAUGCCUCAAACAUGUUGACAAAGUUUGUUCCCAAGCAAAAUCUUCAAUUGUACAUUGGGAUAGUAGGUUUGAGCUCCAUGUGAUGGAGUUAUAGAUUGACAUUCCUCCUCCAUGUGGUGGAGAGGGAGAUUGUUAAGCUAUGUUUGUCCAACCCAUGAGCCCAUAUAAUAGGCUAUUUUAUAUUUGGGUAUUCCCUGAGACCAAAUAUAGGUAUAUAAAUAGCAUUAGGUCUUUGGUAUUAUGAGUGAGAAGGGAGAUUUGAUUGAGAAAAAAAAAAAUAGGAUUGUUUUCUGGGCACUAUUCUAGGGCUCAAGGUGAAGUCACAAGUUCUUUCAUCAACCUUUUAGGCAAGUCUCUGUGGUAUGUUUUCUCCUUGAUUUCUUUUUGUUUAUAUUUCCUGGGGUGAUGGAUUCCCGCCUCAAGUAUUGAGAUAUUUUUAUAAGUUUUCAAGGUGAAAAAACCUAAGGACUUAAUAUUGUAUCCUCAUUUAUUGAAGUGGAAGAAAUUUUUUCCAUGGUUUUUUACCUCAAUUUGGAGGGUUUUUCAUAUUAUAUUUGGUGUCCUCUUUUUGGUUGAAUGUUCUUGCUUAUCAUUCUUGAUUCUUGUUAGGUUGUUAUUAUCGUUGAGGGGUGGUUAUUAUUAUUGAGUGGUGGUUAUUAUUGUGGAGAAAUCUUUUAACCUUGGCAAGAGAAUAUUCUAGAUCUCUCCUUUUAUCUUCCCAACAUUCUUUUAUCACUUUUAAUCUUGAAAUAUCUUAGUAUGUAGUCAUCAACGGAUUUGUGGAGGAGAUUAGAAUGGAUCAAUGUGCCACAAUGGAUAACACUAAUUACUAUUUUGGGGUCCUUAAGAGCAAGCAUAUGACUAAAUUAAAAAUGUCUUGAGUAUCUCAUCUUGUAUUUCGUAGAAUCUUGAUGAUGAAAUGCCUCAAACUAUCUACUAGAAUAGUGAUGUUGUAUUGUAUCAUCAAUGUUCUCAUGGAGCUGAAAUUGUCCUUUCACAUGGCUAAAGAUCUUUUAAAGAAUAAUGUAAGAGCAGGAAUGUACACAUGAGGCUUUCUUGAAGAAAAACUAGUGGUCAUAUUGAAAAUUUAUUGAUUUAGAUAAUAUUUAGGUUAUGAUCUCUAGUUGGUUAUCUGAUUCUUUUGAUCAUAAGAAAUUAACUUGACUUGGGUCUUAACUCAGUUUGGACCUUAAUGUGUCUUAGCCUAGGCUUAGACUUUAUCAAGUCUUAGGUAUGAGUUUUGAUUUUGGUGUGUCUUCAACUUGGGUUUGGACCUUGGUGUGUCUUAGGCAAUGCUUAGACCUUGGUUUCAUUGACAUUCAUAAAAGGCAUAAAUGUUUUAUCUUGGAUUAAGUAUGCCUCGAAUUUGAUCGUUGAAGCUCCAAACUUGAUCUUUGAAUCUACAAACCAACAAUUAAGAGUUUCGAACUUGGUUUUAAAAUCUUUGAAUUAAGGCUUUGAUAAACUUGUUAAGUCUUGAAGGGAAGCUUUCUCUAAUUCUUCUCAAGUGUGGAAGUCUUCCUAUUUUUCCAAUGUGAUUUUGAAAACUAAGGACAUAUUUAUUAGGAUUAUGAGAGACAUAUUUGCAUAGUUUUCCUUAUUCCUUGUAAAUAUUAUUCCUUAAUUAAAAUUAAUAUUUAGGAUGAUUUCGAGGUAUACUUAGACAGUUUUGACCCUUAAAAAAAAAUAUUAUGUUUAAUUAAAAACUAAUAUUUAGGAAACUUGGUAUAUUUCAUGAUGUCCUAUUUUCGUAGAGUUCUUUGGGAAGACUAGCCAACAAGUCUCAUCAUCCCCUUCACCUCCUUUGCAGAUCCAUGAGGACACUCUUUGUCACUCUAGAGUUCUUUUGAUUUAAUGACCUUCCAACUUCUUGUUUCCAUAAGGAGUGCAGGGAGGUAUAUUACUCAUGAUUCCGUGAGCAUUGAGUUGAGGUUAAGUAUGAGCUCUCCUUACCUUCCUUCUGAGACACUAAGGUCCCACAUAUUUUUGAGAGCAUAAAUGGGAUUCUCAAAAUCUCUUGAUGGGGGGCUGGCUAUUGCAAUUAUGUUUGGAUGUUCUAUGCUAAUAACCAUUUUAGCUCAUUAGACAUUUCUUUUAGAGUUAACAUAUAUGGGAUAACUAUCUUGGUUUCUGCUCAUUUUAUUCCACGAGCAUUAAGUCUUCAACCUUUCUUAGAGACGUUUCCACACUUCACUCCAAAUGGAUGUUUGAUCCUAUGGUUAGUCAUGGGAUCUUUCUUAUGUUUCCAUGUUUAUCAUUGCUAGUAAGCAUGGAUCUUCACCAUGUUUUUCAGUUACAACUUUUACCCUUUUCCAGUAUGACCCACUUACAAUGCGCCACUACAAAUCAAUCAUUAUGUUAUUUUUAGUCAUCACAUUGAUGUGGCUCAUUUUAUUAUGGACAUAUGGUAUCAUAUCGAGGGUCAUCUUGCUCAUGGAGUUUACCACUGGUAAUCACCAUCAGAAAUAUUUUGGUUGACGUCAGGUUUGAUUUUUACCAUAAUCUCUGGGUGUUAGAUUAGAGACCUUCCACAGAUGAAAGACUCGAGUCUAAGGACAUGAACCAUUAGGAAACUAUCAUUUUUCGAUAGCAGUUGAAAUUGGGUUGGUUGGGGCAGCCAUUGGUUGGUGAGGACUAUGGACUGUUGACCCCCUCUAACUUGACUUUGAAAGAGCUUCCUUAAUUAAAUAAUUAAUUUAAUAUUUAAAACUAUUUAAUUUCUUUGAACUCUUUCUAUGAUCUCUGGAAAUAAUAUUUUAUUUAAUUUUUUAUAUGUUGUAGCUGAUCAUUUCAAAUCAGUUUCCAAGAAUAUAUAUAUCUCUUUUGAUAAUAUAUUUUGGUGUUUUAGAAAAAUGUUAUGGUGAUAUAUUUUGCUGCUUUAGAAAAAUGUGGUAUGAAAUGGUCCAAGCAACAAGGAUAAACUUUUUAACCGAGUCGUCGCUCUUUAGCGGGAGUUGGUUUGUCAUACAAAUAAUGUAUACUCAAGCCUUCAAAUAUCAGCAAACGAGAAAGCAAUUCAAUACCAACUAGAGCUAUCAAAUCCAAUAUUUCUUUUAUUUACUUUUCAAUAAUAUCCAUGUGAACACAACACUACAAUGUUUGAGGAAUUUUCAAGAUAAUGAACGAGUGAGAUAUUGAAACUCAUCUUUUAAAUUUGGGCUCACGAAGAUAGGCUAAUAAUGACUCGAUUAGAAUCAAAAUUUGGCAAAAGCAAUGAAAUUCUAUAAGAGUAUUUAUUAUCAAUAUCAGAGAUAAAUACCUUUAUUGACUUCUAUUUGAUACAAUACAACAUUAAAGGUACCAUUCUCAUUCACUUAAUUUGUAACAGUAGGAAUGCUAUGCAACACAACAGUUUCAAUAGUUAAGCCCGACCCAAAACCAAAUAAUACUUCCCAAUCUAAUCCUUCACCAGUGGUGCCCUUUUCCCCCUUUAGGGAUUUCUUUCUCAUCUCAUCCAAAAUAAACAACAUACAUGCACUAGACAUAUUACCGUACUCACUUAACACGUGCCUUGUUGCUUUAAGUUUCUUUUUCUCUAAAUUGAGUUUUGCUUCAACUGCAUCAAGAAUUGUAAGGCCACCAAGAUGGGCAAUCCAAAAUAACGAGUUCCAAUCGCUAAUACCAAGUGGGUCAAAAGUCUGAGUUAAGCAUUUUUCUAUGUUCUCAUAAAUCAAAGUAGGCACAUUAGGCCACAAAUGAAAGGUGAGUCCAAUCUCAUGUAAGUUACCCGCAAUAGCACCUUGUGAAUUAGGAUUUAAAUGUUUGAGCUGCUGAGAUGAGUUGGAAGAGUGGUCAUUCAAUUGAGAUGUCUGGAUCUGAUCUAAUAAUCACAGUUGCAGACCCAUUACUGAAAAGGGCUUAGGCAACUAAAGAGUCCGAAGCGGUUUCAAAAGGCCCAUGGAAUGUAAUAACAAUGAUCUCAGAGCCCACCACAAGAACUCGUGCCUCUGUGUUAUUCUCUACAAGAUCUUUAGCAGUUCAAAGAACAGUCCCACCUGCAUAGUAGCCUUGAUGUUACAACAUAACUCUUCUAACUGAAGUAUCAAGACCCAAGAGAUUAGCAAGUUUGUAAUCAGCACCAGGCAUUUCUACACCUGAGGUUGUACAAAAUACAAGGUGGGUGAUCUUGGACUUUGGCUGACCCCAAUCUUUAAGUGCCUUCAAUGCUACUUCCUUACCAAGCUUGGGUACCUCAACAAUGAUGAUCUCCUGCCGUAUAUUAAGAGAUGGGGCCAUGUAGACACCAAUAUUGGGUGCUCUUCAAGCAUUUUUUCAGUCAAAUGAAUGUAGUGCUUCUUGAUUAUUGAUUUUUCACCUGUAAAUAAAAUAACAUGAACACAUUAGCUUUACCAAUCAAUAAGUCAUAUAGUAUAUUGCUCAAGAUGAUCAACAUGCAUUUAACAUUGAAACAAGCAUAAAAGGUUAUUCUUAAUUAUAUCAAAAAUUAUUAAUGUGUUUCUCAACAUUGCCACAUGAUUCAAAGAACAGCUCUUCAAGCCAUUAUAGUCAGAUGCACGGAAUAUUGGUGACUGGAGUAAAAUGAUUUUCAAGUUUCCCGAAGUAUUUUAUCUAAAAGUUAAACUAUUAAAACUUGAAACAUUCAUUUCACUUGGAGGUGAGCCUCACAUAAUAGCACACUCGUAUAUGUAUAGAAGAGUUAUGCAUGUAAGAAUUCAUGCCUGAAUAUAUAUAUACUUACAUAUGCGAUUGAACUUCUUCUUCAACUCAGUCAAUUGCUCGCUCUUAGUGACCCUGAAAUAGUAAUCAGCAUAAUCAGACUGGUAGACACAGUUUUCAGGAGUAGCUGUGCCAAUGGCUAGGAUGGUGGACGGACCCUUGGCACAUUGAGCGUUUCUGAUUUUCUCAACUGAAGCCAUUGAUGCAGAUUAAGUUGAGGAAGGAAAGAGAAGAGUGCUUGGAGCUGGGUUGAGAAAGUUGGGUGUGAGUGUUAGGUAUUUAUAAGCUGUGUCACACCAAACCUAAUCCAUUGGCAGUCAAUGAUCAAUUGGCUUCAAAGCUUGCGUGCGUGAGUUUAUUUUUGGAUUUUCAGACAUGUAUGCAUGUGUUAAUGUAUUUGUGUUGUUUUCUGUUCUUCAGCUACCCAUAUAUAAUGAAUGCAUCCAUAGGAAUUGAGAGAGGAUUCAAUCAGGGUUCCGGCUUCUCAUUGUAACAUUUUUUAUAUAUAGAGAUAAAGAGUUUUCCAGCCUCUCAAAUGGAAAUUAAUACAUUGUUCAUUUGACUUUUCCACGUGUGGGUAGCUGCUACCAGCUUUCUUAUGGUUGAUGAUAUCAAACUCAUUCAAAGUUGGAUUUCAAAAUUUGAAGUAAUAAUCUCCACAACCCAAUACCUAAUACACUAUCUUUCUUCUCCAGGAUAACAUCACAUGUCAUUUAACCUACUCACGAGUGUGUUUCUGCUGUACAAUUAAGAGAGUAAAAUGAGGUUAAAUCCAUUCUAUGUAAACUCAAAUUGGAUUGAGCUUUAGCAGAAGUUUUAGUGUAAAUAUAUUAAUAGAAGAAAAUAAAAUGAAGUGAUCCACAUACAAAGUUAUAUAAUGUUUUAUAAUGGUGGUUGGAUUAACAUGCACCAUGGAUGAGAAAUAAUAUUUCAUUAUAUGAUAUAAAAUAUUAUAAAGGAUAAAAAUAUAUACAAUUAUUGAAUAAUAAAAUAUUUUAUGUUUUUUUUCCUUGUAUCUUCACCUUGAACCAUGAACCGUUUUGUUCCACCGAGUGUCUUCCAGUCUUCCUUGCAUUUAUACCUUGAACUACAAGAAGUUUUGCUCUACUAGGUAUCUUUUACUCUUUCUCAUAUUUUUAUCCAUCACACAGUCUUCAUAAGCUCAUUUUUUAUUUUUAUUUUUGUAACAUUUCCCCCUCAUAAUCUAGAAUAUUUAUUAAGAUAUAGGAACUAGCAUUCUUUAUUCUAUGAAGCAUUUAAAUGCCAUCAUGCAUGAAUUUAGAAAAUAUUUUUUAUAAAAAGAAAUAUAUUCCAAUUAGGAAUUUGAGAUACUUCCCAACCUUAACAAGCUUUCAAAUACCAACAAAUGAGAAACCAACUCAAUACCCGCUAAAGCUAUCAAAUAAUCCAUUCUUUCUUUUAUUUACUUUUAAAUAAGAUUCAUAUGAACACAACAUUAAUAUAAUGUUUGAGGAAUCCUUAAGAUAAUGAAACAUUGAGAACUUCAAACUCAUCCUUUUAGUUUGAGCUCAUCACAAAGAAAGUUUAACAAUGACUUGAGGUAAUAAAAUACUAUAAGAGUAUUAUCAAUUUUGGAGAUAAAUACCAUUAUUAACUCCUAUUUGAUACAAUACAACAUUAAAGGGAGGAUGACCAUUCUCCUUUACUUCACUUAAUUUGUUACCAUUGGAAUGCUAUGUAGUACAACAGUUUCGAUGGUCAAGCCUGGCCCAAAACCGAAUAGUACCUCCCAAUCCAAUCCUUCACUUGUGGUGUCUUUUUCCCCUUUUAGGGAUUUCUUUCUCAUCUCAUCCAAAAUAAACAACACACUUGCACUAGACAUGUUACCAUACUCACUUAACACGUGCCUUGUUGCUUCAAGUUUCUUUUUCUCUAAAUUAAGUUUUGCUUCAACUGCAUCAAGAAUUGUAGGGCCACCAGGGUGAGUAAUCCAAAAUAACAAGUUCCAAUCGCUAAUACCAAGUGGGUCAAAAGCCUGACUCAAACAUUUCUCUAUGUUCUCGGAAAUCAAAAUAGGCACAUUAGGCCACAAGUGAAAGGUGAGUCCCACCUCACGUAAGUUACCUGCAAUAGCACCUGCUGAAUUAGGAAUAAACGCUUGGGCUUAUACUUGUUAAUCGCUUAUUGGGAUUUCUUUUUAUAGUUAGUAGGUCUUGUUGUUUACACUACCUCCAUGGCACGUUUCCAAUUGGGAUCUAAAAGAGCCUUUUUUAUAGUCAGUACGUUCCAAGACACCUUAUAGUGCUGGAUGCUUUUUCCCUAUUCGGUUUACCCUUUAGAAGAAGGUAGUGAGGUUUGGGUGAGUGAGGGUAGCAAGAACUGAUUGAAAAAUAUAUAUAUAUAUAUAUAUAUAUAUAUAUAUAUAAAAUUAAGGGAAGGGGAGGAUAAUAAUUAGUCUCAUUUAGCCAGCAAAAACUGAAUGAAGAAAAAUAAAAAUAUAAUAAUUUGUUUCAUUUAUGCUAGAAAGAUGAGGGAGAGAUAAUGCUAUGAAAAAAGAAAAGAUCAUAUCAGGGGGUUGGAGGGUUCAAAUCCAUACAACUCACUCUUGUGUGAUGAACAACAAAAUUUUGGAGAAAUUUUUACUAAUUGUGUGAUGAACAACAUGAUAAUUGUCUUGUCAUGCAUCUCAUCUUGCAAAUAAUUCCAAUAGGAAACUACCAUCCGUCGUCGGUAGCAUUGACAUUUGGUUGGUUGGGGCAGCAUUGGUUGGUGAGUUUUAAUUUCUUAAAACUGUUUCUAUAAUCCAUGUAAACGUAUUUUAUUUAGGUUAUGUGUAGUUUGUCAAAAGUUUGAGGUAGAACGUUAAGGAAAUAAAAUAAAGAGAAACGGUAUGAAGAAAAAAAUAAAAAUAAAUAAAUAAAUAAGUUUAAAAUUAAUAAAUAUUUUUAUCUAUUACUUUAAAUUUAUUUUUCUUAUUUUAACUCAAUAAAAAAUAUUAAAAUAUAUAAGUUUUUAAUUAAUUUAAUUAUAUUUUAUAUGGUAAAAUCAAAUUUGAGAAAAUUAUUUUUCUUAAUAGCUUUUUCUUUCCUUAAUACUUUCUCAAAUCCAAAUACAACUUUCAUUUUUUAAAAAAAAAACUCUAUAUUUUAAAUCAUUUCUAAUAAACAACAUAGAAAUUAAUGUAUUAGAAAUAUGUAUAUCCCUUUCCUAUUGCAUCUUGGUAAAAAUAUUCCAAUUUUGCUAUUUUAGCAUGCAUAUUUUGCUUCACUUCCUAUGGACAAAGUAUGAACAAUUUAUUGUAACUUCUCCAAAAAAAAUUUAUUAGGUAAAUGGACUUUGAAUAAAGUAAGAUUUAAUAUAUUAAUUAGAUUCAAUAUUGAGUCAAUUAAUAUCAUAUUUUCCUCUUUUUAACUUCAAAAACAUAAAAAAAUAAAAAUAAAAAUGGAAUAUAAAACAUACAUUGUAGCUGAUCUUUUCAAAACUGUUUCCAAAGAUAUAUUAUGAUAAUAUAUUUUGGGGUUUUAGAAAAAUGUUUUGGUGAUAUAUUUUGCUAUUCUAGAAAAAUGUGGAGUGAAAUCAUCCAUGCAAAGAGAAUGAACUUUGUAACUGAGCCACUGCUCUUCAGCAGGAGUGUGUUUCUGUUAUACAAUUAAUAGAGUAAAAUGAGGUUAAUUCCAUUCUCUGUGUACUCAAAUUGAAUUGAGCUUUAUAUGAUUUUACUGUGGGGCAAGCCAAAGUUUUAAUUUAAUGUAAACAUAUUACUAGAAGAAAAUAAAAUGAAGUCAUCCACAUAUUAAAUUAUAUGAUGUUUUAACGUGGUGGUUCAAUUAACCAUGCACACCUUCAUGGUUGAGAAAUAAUUUUUCAUUAUACAAUAUAAAUUAUUAUAGAGGAUAAAAACAUAAACAAUUCUUGGGUUAUGAAAUGUUCUAUGUUUUCUCAUUCCUUAUAUUCUCACCUUGAACCACAAAUCAUUUUAUUCCAUCAAGUGUCUUCCACUCUUCCUCACAUCCCUAAAUUGCGAGAAGUAUUACUCUACUGGGUAUCUCUCACUCUUUCUCACAUUUUUAUCUAUCACAUUUAAUCUUCACAAACUCAUCUUUUUUAUAACAUUUUCCCCUCAUGAUUUAGAAUAUUUAUUAAGAUAUUCCUACUAACAUUCCUUAUUCUACAAGGCAUCUAAAUAUAUCACAUAUGAAUUUAGAAAAUAUUUUAUAUAAUAUUUUUUAUAAAAAGAAAUAUUUUUCAAUUAAGAUCAAAUUUGAGACACUUCCCAACAUUUACAAGCUUUCAAAUACCAACAAAUGAGAAAUCAACUCAAUGCCAACUAAAGCUAUCAAAUAAACCAUUAUUUCUUUUAUUUGCUUUUAAAUAAGAUUCACAUGAACACAACAUCAAUACAAUGUUUGAGGAAUAUUUAAGAUAAUGAAACACUGAGAACUUCAAACUCAUCCUUUUAGUUUGAGCUCAUCACAAAGAAAGUCUAACAAUGACUCAAGUACAAAUCCAAAUUUAGCAAAGUAAUAAAAUACUAUAAGAGUAUUAUCAAUUUCGGAGAUAAAUACCUUUGCUAACUCCUAUUUGAUACAUUACGCCAUUGAAGGGUCAACCAUUCUCUUUUAUUUCUCUUAAUUUGUAACUGGAGGAACGCUAUGCAGCACAACAGUUUCGAUGGUCAAGCCCGGCCCAAAACCAAAUAAUACUCCCCAAUCCAAUCCUUCACCUGUGGUAGCCUUUUCCCCCUUCAAGGAUUUCUUUCUCAUCUCAUCCAGAAUAAACAACACACAUGCACUUGACAUGUUACCGUACUCACUUAACACAUGCCUAGUUGCUUCGAGUUUCUUUUUCUCUAAAUUGAGUUUUGCUUCAACUGCAUCGAGAAUUGCAGGGCCACCUGGGUGAGCAAUCCAAAAUAACGAGUUCCAAUCACUAAUACCAAGUGGGUCAAAAGCCUGGGUCAAGCAUUUCUCUAUGUUCUCAGAAAUCAAAGUAGGCACAUUGGGCCACAAAUGAAAGGUGAGCCCCACCUCACGUAAGUUUCCGGCAAUGGCUCCUGCUGAAUUAGGAAUAAAUGUUUGGGCUGCUGAAACAAGUUGGAAGAGUGGUCGUUCAAUCGAGACAUCUGGAUCUGAUCCAACAAUCACAGCAGAAGACCCAUCACCAAAAAGGGCUUGGCCAACUAAAGAGUCCAAAGCAUCUUCGGAAGGGCCACGGAAUGUAACAACAGUGAUCUCAGAGCACACCACAAGAACUCGUGCUCCUGCAUUAUUUUCUGCAAGAUCCUUAGCAGUUCGAAGGACAGUUCCACCUGCAUAGCACCCUUGAUGGUACAACAUCACCCUUCUAACGGAUGUUUCAAGACCUAAGAGAUUAGCGAGUUUGUAAUCUGCACCGGGCAUUUCUACACCGGAGGUUGUACAAAAUACAAGAUGGGUGAUCUUGGACUUUGGUUGGCCCCACUCUUUAAGAGCCUUCAAUGCUGCAUCCCUACCAAGUCUAGGUACCUCAGCAGUGAUAAUCUCUUGGCGUAUGUUAAGAGAUGGAGCCAUAUAAGCACCAAUGUUUGGGUGCUCCUCAAGCAUUUCUUCGGUCAAGUGAAUGUAACGCUUCUUGAUCAUUGAUUUGUCACCUGUAAAUGAAGUAACAUGAACACAUUAGUUUUACCAAUCGAGAAGUCAUAUAGUA